RNAcentral lists this long non-coding RNA (72517 nucleotides) under Olea europaea (common olive). Its description in RNAcentral is "long non-coding RNA (OEUR_LNC012614)". The stretch from base 13433 to 13539 matches the Rfam family "Plant small nucleolar RNA R71". Lineage: Eukaryota; Viridiplantae; Streptophyta; Magnoliopsida; Lamiales; Oleaceae. The record is from RNAcentral.
UCUAAAAGUAUGUAAUAGGUUCGUGCUUUUCUUUAUGUAAAAAUCGUGUUUGUCGUGCGAAGAAACAUUGCUUGAGCUUCAAAUGACGUAUAUGCCAAAUACUAAAGUGUUUUACCUUAACAUUUGAAAUCAAGGUGUCUAAAUAUAUUUUCUUCUAAUUUCUUUUUGAAGUGAUCGUAGUCUUGAUAUGUAGCUUGAUUUCCACUUUGUCCAAACUUGCAAAAGCUCCGCUUGUCGUAAACUUCUAUAAUCACUUUGUUAAAUAAAAUAUGUUUAUUAUAAUCAAAACGAGAAGUCAACCGUAGGCCAACAAUUUCCCCCUUUUUGAUUAUGACAAACAUGAGAUGAUGGAGAUAAAAAUAACGAAAUAAUUCCCCCUGUCUUUUAUACGUGUAUUCCCCCUUACUCAAGCAUUCCUAUCAUGCAUAUCGUCUCAUCAUAAUAAAUCAUGUAUUCUCAUAAUUGAUUGAUCAUGUAUACCAUCUCAUAAUUGAUAAAUUAUGUAUAUCAUCUCAUAAUUGACAAAUCAGGUAAGUCAUCUCAUAAUUGACACAUCAUGUAUAUCAUCUCAUAAUAGUUUUCCCCCUUUUGGCAUAAUCAAAAAAAUGACAAAUAUGAGAAGUAACAUAAGUUCAUAAUAUCAUAACCAAAACGUCAAAAGAUAAAGUCAUAAUGAGUUCGGGAGUACACUAAAAAGAUGCAUAAGGUAAAUAAUAAAACCAAAAACUAAGGCGCCGGAGGAGGUGGUGGAAAAUGUGCGUAAAAGUGAGUAUAGAACGCAUUCUGCUGAGCUUGCAUUUCAGCUUACUGUGCAAGAAUGGCAUCCUGCUGAGCCUGGAUCGCGGCCUGCUGUGAUUGGACAUUCUGAAGAACACCACUAAGCCCAUCAACCGACGUCGUGAGAGAGUCGAGACGCUCGGUGAGUAAAUUAUACUGAUCCUCGGUAAAAGUGAAUCGUCGGGUAGAAGAGGAAGAUGUCCUAAUUGAUGGUGGAUGCGAGAGUAAUGGGACGUCUUCUUCAGCUUUUUCUUCGUCCUCAAAUGGUACUGUAGAAGGACCCGAGGCGGGGUCAAACCCUUUAGUGUAAGCCACCCAUUGUCCUUGAGUUUUAAAGAUUUUCGUACGCUUGAGGGUUUGAAUAUUGAUCGUAUCGGUGGGACGAGGUUUGAUGACGACUUCACCCUCAAGAGAGACAUUGAAGUGUUUGAAAAUUUUUGUUAAAAGCAUACCACAGGGCAAUGCUUUGGAAUAACGGGAAGAAUGGAUAAGUUUCAUAAGACCUAAAGCAAUUGUGGGAAAAUCUAACUUUCGGCCAACGAGAAAUGAAUCGAGAAUGAACAAAUCAAAAUAAUUAACCUCAUCUCGAUGCCCUUUUCUAGGUAAAAUAACAUUUGCAAUGAUAUUUUGCAAUAUUUUCAAGGUAAAGAGAGUUGAUUAGCACUAAUUUUUGUGAUGUUUUCAAAGUCUUUCCCAGUCACACGACGACAUGCAUCACUAGGAUUAUAACCUUCUAAGGUCGGGUGAGCUUUAUGAACAAAGACUUGUGUAUCACAAGGUUCAAGCCCAAGAAUUUCCCGAAUAAGAGUUUUAGUGACGGUGAUCCUUACAUUUUUAAUUAAACAAGAGAUACUAUCGGAACGUGGUAUAAUAACCAUUUUGUGUAAAAAGUUUUCAUAGUUUGAGGAUAAGCAUUUUCUUCCAACGAACAUACCGAAAUCCAUCUCAUAUUUUCAAAAAAUUCUUGAAUGUGAAAAGUAGAUGCUUCAACAGAAAAAGUCGAAAAAUCAACAUCUUUACCUAGUAGAAUGGGAGAUUUUUCAAGUGGGUUCACUGCCUCUUCGGGUUCAAAAUCCAUUUCUUCGUUGGAGGAGGGUGUUGGUGGCCAAUGUUCUGUAGUUUUUGCCCUUUUUCCAACUUGCUUUGUCCUCGGCAUUGAUUAAAUUGAGGCAAAAUGUUGAAAAUUGAGAGUUACGGCACAAAUUUGGGGAAAUGAGAAAUUUUGAAGCAAAAAACCAAAAUUUGUGAGGGAGAGAUGAAGAAGAUGAAGUGGGUUAAUAUAUUUUAUGUGAUUUUGUAACAAAUUAGAGAAGCAGAUGAAGAAACUUGAGUGAAGAGAGGAGGAGAGUUCGAAGAAGACCGGAGAAGGUAGGAAAAAAUGAGGAGAAAAAGACCUGUCGCGUUUUUAAAAUUCUGAAAUUUUAGUUUAUCGGACGUCCGGUAAUGUUUGUCGGAUCGUCCGGUAGGACAGAAAAAAGUUUCUGUCCAACCGGAUGAUAUACCGGACACGUCUGAUGGACUCGUCCGAAACCCUUUUUUUUUAAAUAGAAAAGAAAGAUUAAAGACAUGAAAUAAAUGAUUUAACGCUUAAUUCACUUCAUUUUCAUCAAGGAUACCUAAACCUCUUCGAAUACAAGAAAAUCGGUCAUGAGCUAGAGGUUUUGUAAAAAUGUCAGCCAAUUGGUCUUCAGUCUUUAUAAAUUCUAAUUCAAUGUCUCCUUUUUGAGUAUGAUCACGAAGGAAAUGAUGCUGAAUCUCAAUAUGCUUAGUUCGUGAAUGUAAAACGAGAUUUUUAGACAAAUUUAUGGCACUAGUAUUAUUACAUAAAAUAGGUAUAUGAUCGUAAAUCAAAUGAUAAUCGCAUAAAGUUUGUUUAACCCAAAGUGUUUGUGCACAACAACUAGCGGGUGAGAUAUAUUCUGCCUCGGCGGUGGAUAGUGCAAUGGAGUUUUGUUUCUUGCUAGACCAAGACACAAGUGCAAAGCCUAGAAAGUGACAAUUUCUGCUAGUGCUUUUACGAUCAACAUUACAUCCGGCCCAGUCGGCAUCCGAAUAAUUAAUUAAGUCAAUAUGAGUGCCUUUUGGAUACCAAAGUCCUAAAGUUCUCGUACCACUUAGAUAACGAAAAAUUCUUUUUACAGCCUUUAAGUGUGAUUCUUUAGGAUUAGAUUGAAAGUGAGCACAUAGGUAAAUACUAAACAUAAUAUCGGGUCUACUAGCAGUUAAAUAAAGAAGGGAUCCGAUCAUACCUUGAUAUUUUGUGACGUCCACGGAUGUACCUUGCUCAUUUUUAUCAAGCUUUAGAAAUGUGCUCAUUGGUGUGUUCAUAGGCUUGAUAUCAUACAUGUCAAAUUUCUUAAGCAUGUCUAUUAUGUAUUUAUUUUGAUUUAUGAAAAUUCCUUCUUUCAUUUGUUUAAUUUGAAGGCCAAGAAAAAACUUUAACUCACCCAUCAUGCUCAUUUCAAAUUCAUUACUCAUGCAUUUUGAAAAUUCUUCACAAAGUUGUAUAUUUGUAGUGCCAAAGAUAAUAUCGUCAACAUAAAUUGAAACAAUAAGCACAUCAUCUUUAUGAGUUUUUAUAAAAAGUGUAGUAUCUGCUUUUCCAAUCGAAAAACCAUUUGAGAGAAGAAAUUUGCUCAACCUUUCGUACCAAGCUCUAGGAGCUUGUUUCAAACUGUAAAGAGCUUUUUGAAGUUUAAAUACAUGAUCCGGAUACUUGUGAUCUUUAAAACCGGGAGGUUGCUCAACAAAAAACUUCUUCUUGAAUGAAACCAUUUAAAAAAGCACUUUUAACAUCCAUUUGAUAAAGUGUAAAAUCUUUGUAGCAUGCAAAUGCAAGAAGCAUGCAGAUGGAUUCUAAUCUUGCUACGGGUGCAAAUAUUUCUUCAAAAUCGAUACCUUCUCCUUGAUUGUAACCUUGGGCCACUAAUCUAGACUUGUUACACACAAUUAUUCCAUUUUCAUCCUUUUUAUUUCUAAAAACCCAUUUAGUUCCAAUAACGGUUUGAUUGUUUGGUCUAGCGACUAAGUCCCAAAUAUGAUUUCUUUCAAAUUGAUUUAAUUCUUCUUGCAUCGCUAGAAUCCAAAACUCAUCAAAUUCGGCUUCUUUGAAAUUCUUAGGUUCGAUUUGAGAAAUAAAUGCACAACUACCAAAAUAAUUUUUGUAAGAGGUUCUAGUAGUGAUACCUUUUGAUGGAUCGCCAAUUAUUGGCUCUUUGGGAUGAGAUGGAACAAAUCUCCAUUCUUUUGGUAACGAUGGAUCACUUUGUUCUCCGGUUUGUCUUUCUUCAUUUUCUUGAACAUUUGACUUUUCCAUGUCUCCAUUUGGUGCCUCCUUAUUUUGGUCUUGAAUUUUCAUUUGUUCGAAAGGAGCUUCUAAACCUACAUCGUCAUCACUACCUUUCUCUCGAUCAAAUGAAUUAGUUUCAUCAAAAGUGACAUGCAUGGAUUCUUCAACGACUAGAGUUCGUUUGUUAAAAACUCUAUAUGCUUUGCUAGUCGAUGAAUAUCCUAGGAAAAUUCCAAUAUCGGAUUUGGAAUCGAAUUUUCCCAAAUUGUCUUUUGUAUUUAAAAUGAAAUAUUUACAUCCAAAAACUUUGAAAUAACCAAUAUUUGGAAUUCUAUUUUUCCAAAGUUCAUAAGGAGUUUUGGUUUUCCUUUUGCUUACUAAUACUCUAUUGAUAAUGUAGUAAGCGGUAUUAACGGCUUCGGCCCAAAAAUAUUUAGGCAAGUUAUUUUCAUUUAACAUAGUUCGAGUCAUUUCUUGCAAUGUGCGAUUCUUCAUUUCUACGACACCAUUUUGUUGAGGUGUUCUAGGAGCCGAAAAAUUAUGUUCAUAUCCACGUUCUUUACAAAAAUCAUCAAACCCAACAUUAUUAAAUUCUCCACCAUGAUCACUUCUAAUAGUUGAAAUAGAAUAGCCUUUUUCAUUUUCAACUUUCUUACAAAAAUGUUUAAAAGUUUUCAAAGCUUCUUCUUUUAAGCUUAAAAAUAUAACCCAAUUAAAUCUUGAAAAAUCAUCGACAAUAACAAAAGCAUAAUGUUUACCUUCUAAGCUAGCCGUCCUAGAAGGUCCAAAAAGAUCCAUAUGGAGAAAUUGUAAUGGUUUUGUGGUUGAAGUAAAAAUUUUUGGUUUGAAAGAACAUUUUACUUGUUCUCCAAAUUGACAAGCAUCACAAAUUUUAUCUUUUUCAAAUUUCAAAUUCGGUAAACCCUUUACAAAACAAUUUUUGGAAAUUUUUGAAAGAAGAUCCAUGUUUACAUGUCCAAGUCUUCUAUGCCAUAACCAUGAUUCUUCUUUCAAGCUAAGUAAACAUUUUUCAUUAUUUUCCAAUUCAAUGUUUAUAAUAUAAACAUCUUUACUUCGGCUUCCCACAAAAAUCACCUCUUUCGAUGUAGCAUCCUUAAUAAGGCAUUUGGAAGAAUCGAAUUUUAUGUUAUAACCUUUGUCACAUAAUUGACUAAUGCUUAAUAAAUUAUGUUUAAGAUUAUCAACGAGUAAAACAUUUUCGAUAGAAGGGGAAGAGUGGUUACCAAUGUUUCCAAAGCCUAUUAUUUUACCUGUACCGUUAUCUCCAAAAGUCACAUGGCCUCCAUCCUUCUCUUGGAAGUUUGAUAACAAUGAUCGGUCUCCGGUCAUAUGCUUCGAGCAUCCACUAUCCAAGAACCAUUUACUUUUUAUUUUCUUUAGUACCUACAAAGACAAAUUAAGUUUUGACUUUUGGUACCCACACAAAUUUGGGUCCUUGAUAGUUAGUUUUUGUGGAUUCUUGUAUCCAUUUGUAUUUGUUCUCAAAGAACAAUUUCUUUUUAGUUACACAAUUAAAAGCAAAUGUCCACUUUUAUUACAAAAGCUACAUAAAAUAUUUGAAACCUUGACAAAAAUAUUUUUGAGUGAUUUUUGUUUUAAAGAGGUUUUGUAUCCAAUUUCUCCUUUAUCAAAAACAUACUUUUGAUUACUGAGCAUUAAAUCAAAAUUUUUCUUUCCUUCGGUAAACUUAUGGAUAAUUUGUGUUAAAUCAUUUACCUUUUCUUUCAAAGAAAUGUUUUCUUUUAUUAAAAGGUCAUGAUCAAUAUUCUCUCUUUGCUUUUCGGAAAUUUUCUUAAUUUCUUCUUUUAAAAUAGAGUUUUUCUUUUUAAGAAUAGCAUGAUUUAAAGCGAGUUUUUCAAAUUUUUCAAGCAUUUCAUCAUAAGAAAUUGAAAGCUCAUCAUAAGAACAUACCUCAUCUUCGAUUGCCAUGAAGCACAUAUUUGCCACUUCAUCUUGACUAUCAUUUCCAUUUUGUUCUUCGUCGUCGCUAUCAUCCCAUGUGGCUUGGAGUGCAUUCUUCUUAAAAUUUUUCUUUUUGUUUGGACACUCGGUUCUCUUGUGACCCGGCUUGUCACAAUCAUAACAAACAAUCUUUUUGUUUCUAUCUUCCCCUUUUUCUUCUUUCUUUUGGAAUCUUCGAUUAUUACGAAAACCUUUCCAUUUUUUGACAAGAAGGACCAAAUCAUCAAGUUCUUCAUCGCUCAUAUUUUCAUUUGAUGUUCCUUCUUCAAUUGCCGAUUUUAAUGCAAUUUGUGGUUUGGGAGAUUCCUUUGAUUCCUCCUUGCUUUUUCUCGUUCUCUCCUUAACCUCGGCAUUAUUUAGCUCAUAGGUCAUUAAUUUGUUGUAGAGCUCUUCCAAAGGAUAUGUACUUACAUCCUUAGUAUUCUCGAUCAACAUCCUCAAUGGACUCCAUUCCUUCGAUAAGGACCUAAGCAUUUUGCUCACAAGUUCACCGUUAGUAAAUUUACGAUCAAAGCCUUUAAGACCAUUUACAAUAUCGCAAAAACGAGUAAUCAUAUCAAUAAUAGGCUCAUUUUGUUUCAUAAAGAAAUUUUCAAAUUCUUUAACUAGCAUAUUUAUCUUUGUUUCCUUAACUUUACUUGUGCCAACAUGAGUGACUUCAAGAGCAUGCCAAAUAUCCUAUGCCGAAUCACAUGUACUAAUUCGAUUAAAUUCAUUUCUAUCAAGUGGACAUUAAAGUAGAUUUUUAGCCUUGGCAUUUAAUGAUAGUUUUUUCUUAUCUUCAUCAUCAUAUUCUUCUCUAGAUUUGGGAAGAGUUUGGUCCGGUCUACCAUCCUCCUUAAUAGUUUUAGUGGGAGCAUAUGGACCAUAUUCAAUAACUUUCCAAAUAUUGUAAUCAAUAGAUUGAACAUAUAUCAUCAUUCUAGCGUUCCAAUAAUUAUAAUCGGUACCAUCAAAGAAUGGUGGUCGGUUUGUAGAGUGCCCCUCACUAUUUUGAAAAACUUGGUUAGCCAUUACUCAAGAUUGUAAAAUAAAAAAAAAAAAAAAGGGUACCGAGCUCUGAUACCAAUUGAAAGCCCAAGAACAACUAACCAAGAGGGGGGUGAAUUGGUUAUUCGAUCUUUUUCGAAAAUAAGCGCAAAUUUAAGCAAAUAACUAUGCAUAAACAAGAUAACACAAAAGUAAUAAUAGGAAGGGAAAAGAGAGUGCAAACGAUGUAAUAAGGAGGUUCGAUCCAAUCAUGAUCUACGUCCCCUGUUACCAAGCUCUCCGUCACGAGCAAGGCCUUUUUCACGAUAUUAAUUGACUUAUGGUGCAAUCUAACCAUCUUACAACACUUUUGGUGACUUACAAAUAAGGAGCACUGUUCCUUUACAAUGUUGAAAUUUCUGGGACUUCAACUCGACCCAUAAGUUUGAAAGAUAAGGAGUAUACAAGUAAAGACUUCUCUUAUAAUAAAUGAUAUAAUUGAAGUUAAAUACAACAAGAGAAGAUGGCUAACACUUUAGUAGAUAGCAAUGAUUGAAGCUCAAGUGUUAGAAAUGAAAAACACUUUGAUAAGAAUGAUUUUUCAAAAGUUGGAUCAAUCAAAUGUUUUUCUAAUAAAUAGAUUGAAGAAAUAGAUGUAUAUAGGUGAUAGAUUACUGAUUUCUCACUUUAAAUGCUCAUAUAAAGUCUCAUAUUGAAUGUAAAGUGAUCUAGUAUUUAUAGCAACAAAAACGGCCAAAAGUUCUGUUCUACCGAACGAAGCUAACGGACGUCCACUAUCGUACUGGAUGGUCAACUAACCGUUUUUUGUUCAGAAGUCAGAACGUUCGAUUUCUUGACCGUUGGACAAACCUGUCAUACCGGAUGUCCGCUAGAAUUACCGGACUUGUCUGCUAGAGCUACCAGAUGCGUCCUUUAGCUACCGGAUGCGUCCUCUAGAUCAAUAUAUUUUUGGAAUUUUUCUUCUUUAAAUAAUGUAGCAAAAUGUAAAUUCAUGAAGGAUGUUUCUAACAUAUUUUACGGACUUUUUGACAUGUCAGAAAGUAUGUAAUACGUUCGUGCUUUUCUUUAUGCAAAAAUCGUGUUUGUCGUGCGAAGAAAUGUUGCUUAAGCUUCAAAUGACGUAUAUGCCAAAUACUAAAGUGUUUUACCUUAACAUUUGAAAUCAAGGUGUCUAAAUAUAUUUUCUUCUAAUUUCUUCUUGAAGUGAUCGCAGUCUUGAUAUGUAGCUUGAUUUCCACUUUGUCCAAACUUGCAAGAGCUCCGCUUGUCGUAAACUUCUAUAAUCACUUAAACACAAUUGUUGUUUGUUAUAAUCAAAACGAGAAGUCAACCGUAGGCCAAAAAACCUCUCUCGAUAGUUAUCAAAUAUAUUCCUCUCAUGCGACCUUCCUAUCCCUUGAUGAAAGAUGCGAACAUGAUAAAUGCAUUAAACGAGCUAGAACAUCUUAUAAAAACCAUAUGAAGGAUAGAUGUAUAUAUCUAUUCUCUAUUGAGCCUCACAAUAUUUAUUAUUUUGUGCUAAUGAUCCUAUAAUCUCUCUCGAUAAUAACAAAAUCCACAAACAAUUCAACUAGUAGCCAAUUAAUUGAAAAGCAUGAAAAUGAUAAUAAACAUCCAAACAAUUAAACAAAUUAAUGUCAAUUAAAUUAUUCAAAUUAAAAAUUCAUAACAAGGGUUCAUCACAUCCUAGAAAAUAUGAAAAGUUAGUCUAACAUAUUUAAAUUACAAAAAAUCAUAUAUAAGUGGAAAGACAGAAUCUGGAUUUUUGAUAAAUUGAGAAGAUGAAGACAAAUCUUGAAAUCUUGAAUCUCUUCAAUGAUUUCUUAAUAAAUCUCCACCUGCGUUCUCUCUUCUUUAUCCAAUACCAAGUUUGAAUCUUCACUUGAUUGAAUUCUUGCAAGUCCCCUUAAAUUCUCUCACGAAAAUAAUGAAUUCUCUCCUCCUUUGAUGAUGAUAAUUGAUGAAUAUAUUGGAGUAUAUUAUAUAUAAGAGAAAAGUAUGAGAGCCCCCUUUGUGUAUUCUCCUGUUAGGUAUCUGUAGUGGUCGAAAAUUGGUGAAAAAUCACGUUCAAAUUGGUUUCCAAAAGAUUUCCAAUCGAAUAAAGAAAGUUACACUCGUGCGCAGAUUUUUUUGUCUCUGCACAUCAGUCAGUAUUUUGAUCAUAACUUUGUCUCCCGAUAUCCAAUUGAGUGAUUCAAAAUUCGUUGGAAAGAUAACUAAAAGGGCUACAAUUUUCCUAGAAACAGAUAUUUUCCAAUUCGGACGUUUACUAUGCCAAAAAUUGGUCGCAAUCCUUGACUAAAAAUCUAAAAAAUAUAUCAUGUAAUUGGAAGUCGAUUUAUGGUAAUAUUCUGAUGAUAUUCCAUUCCUUUUUGACUUCUAAUUGCAUCCAGUUGACUCCCAUCAAUCUUUAAAAUAUCUCUUAUGGUCCAAGUCAACCAUUGGAUAUUUACUAUUUGGUCCUCAACUUUGUACUUCGCUAUUUUUCGCCUUUUUUUACUUCUUUCUUUCGGUUUAACUUCCAACCAUCGAGUUUUACCUAAUAAAUGAAAUAUACAACAAUUUAGGCUAUAAUUGCUUUAAAGAACUAUUAAAUAUAUAUAUUUUAGGUCUACAUAAGUGUAUAAUACACUUAUCAAACACUCCCAAAUAUAAACAUUUGUUUGUCUUCAAACAAAAUCAUAACUUAAUUUAACAAACACACAAACAUGUAAAAUAUUUUGGUUGGAUAAUCUCGCUUUUUACAUCGGGAAUGGAGAUCACCGUAUUAAAUUUACAAACUGCUUCAAAGUCACAAUAUCAAACCAAUAUCCAUUUUUUUAAUGCAAAAUCAACGUUUGUGUGUGUGUGUGUGAAGAACUAGGUAGGCAUUAAUGACUUCACAAGUUGUUCCAAUUUUUGACCCUCUAUGGUCAAAUUUAUUCUUUCAUCUCUCGUAAAAUUCGUAUACCCCCAAACUUAUUUUUUUCACUCUUUUCCCAGCAUGUGAUCUAAGAUUGAGUUUUUAAUUACUAUUCUCACCCUAUCCAAUUUGGGUGGAUGUCACUAGUUGCAAGUCAACACAUUAAUGAAUAAGGAUUCUCCAAUUAUUUGAUUGCUUCGACUGCAAGACUCAAGUAGGCUAAUUAUCUUUCAUCAAAAGUCAAAUUCCCUCGAACUAGUGUUAGGACUUAACAAGGUAUUUAAUGCAUUUUUAUUUUUAUUUUUAUUUUUUUUGAACUCUCCUUUAAGCUUUCUAGAUGACUCAUGUAGCAGGCUUUAGGUCGAUGACCUCCAAGUCAGACGACUUAAGGGCACUAGGUCUUCAAACACCCUUAUAGGCUUAAUAACCCGAGUUAAAAAGGCUUUGAAGAGAACAAUUAUUUAUUUUUUCAACGGCAACUUCAUCUUUGAGUGCUUUCUAAAUAACCCCUAUAGCGAGCUUUAGACCGAUGACUCCCAAAUUAGAUGACUUUAGGCAAUCAGGUUUUAAGAUACCCUUGCAGGCUUAAUUGCUCGAGUCAUAAAAGCUUCAAAGAGAAAUUUUAAAUUUUAAAAUAUAUGUCUUGAUUAGUGCAAUGUCCCUUAUCAUACACCUAUUCAAGAAAACUGACCUCCAACUUAAGACUUUCACCCAAUUUUAUCAUGUUCAUCUCAGACAAUCCAUACAAUUUUUUUUUUCACACAAGAAAUCCCUAGCCACAUCAGUAUCUUCCUACAAUAGUAAAAUCACCCCAAACUGUGCUAUAUUUGGUCUAAGAAUAAUUAGUUUAGUAUAGUUUGAGUAAAGCAUUUAUGUCCAACUAAAUCCACCUAUCAAGAGCAUGAAACAACUCAUUCCAUCACAAUGUCAAACUCAAUUCUUAUGCGCGUAUAAUAUCAAGUUUUGCAAGUUUAAGUUUCAAUCAAUCUAGCAUGCAAACUAUCCACAGUUUAUAUAUUAACACUAAAUCUCAAUUCAGAUCAUCAUUGCUGGCCAGGUUAUCCAACCCACACAAGCAUGCAAUCUAAUAAAAAAAUUUGUUGUUUUUUUUUUAAGUAGUACUAAACAAACGCACCAAAACACACAAGCAUACAAAAACCAAAAAAUUCAAUGUUUUUUUUUCACCCCCAAGCUUGAACCCGACAUUGUUCUCAAUGUCAUAAAAUAAAAGUAAGAGUAUAAGGGAAUGGGGAAGAAAAGGAAGAAAAUACUCCCCGAAGUUUUCUGUUGAAUAUGUGAGGCAGUAUGGAUGACGACUUGAAAAUCUCUAUCAUCAUAUUUCUCCUUUGGUCUGUGUUGGUUUGAGCGUUCCACGACGUUAUGUUCCUAACAUAGCAGUUAAAUCAAGCAUUAAAAAUCAAAUAACCUAGAACAUGUGUUACUUAGCCCAAACAAUCAAAAUACCGACAAUAAAUUCAAUGGCCUAAGUGGAGUAUUUAAGGAUGGUGAUACCUUACAAAUUAAAACGUGCCUAAAUCUAAUGCAACCAAAUAAUCAAAAUAAAUCUAUAUGCUAUGCGAUGCAGAAAGCAAAAUAAAUAAAAGCGUUAGAAGAUUGGGUUGCCUCCCAAUAAGCGCUUAAUUUAUAGUCUUUAGCUAAACUGUACGGAGAAAUUGAUCAGGGUGGUUUAAACAUGUAUCUUGAGUUUUUGCACUCCUUGCAAUUUUCGGCUUUGCAUCCUCGUUUUGCCUUCCAAACCUUGAACCCUCCGUUCCUCUCUCGUCCAAGGCUUCCUAAAUUUUUUGGUUUUGUCUCCUUCGAGCCUUGUUGCACCUUUGCAGUAAUAUAAUUGGACUCUUCCUUAGUUUUUUUUAUUGAUCUCUCUAUGUACUGGAUUCUCGAUAGUGUUUUAGAUCUUAAAAUUCUCUUGUUUAUCUUCCACUCUCAAUGUUAGUUCGCCACUUUCAAAGUCCAUGACAGCUCGGCUUGUUGAUAGGAAGGAUCUGCUCAAGAUAAGUAACACUGCAUCCCAUGGCUCCUCUAUAUCUAGGACAACAAAAUCAAUGGAGAAUAUAAAUUUUCCUACUUUAAUGAGCACGUUCUCAACUACUUCUCCCGGGUAUUUGAUUGAUCUGUCUGCUAAUUGAAGGGAGAUAGAUGUAUCCUUUAGCUCUUUCAAUCCUAAUUCCCUACUGAAGGGCAUUAGGUUUAUAUUUGCUCCUGAGUCACAUAAAUAAUUAAAAUUUGAAUCAUUCCCUAUUGAGCAACGUAUUUUGAGACUCACUGGAUCUUGUAGCUUAGGAGUUAAUUUAUUAUGCAAUAUGGCACUACACACCUCAUUUAACUUGAUUGUCUCGAAAUCUGUAAGCCUUUUCUUUUUGGAUAGAAUCUCUUUCAGAAACUUUGCAUAGUUUGGUAUUUGAGAUAUAGCUUCAAUUAGUGGAAUGUUAACAUGAAGCUUCUUGAAGAUAUCCAAGAACCUUGCAAACUGUUCUUCCAACUUCAUCUUUUGCAAUCUCUGUGGAAAUGUGACAGGAGGCAAAUAAGGUUUGAUAUGGGCGAUUGUCUUAACCUGUAGAUUUUCAGACUCUUGAUGUGAAACUAUUUUAUCUGGCUGUUCGGAUUUAUCCACUUGCUCCUCAUCUAUGGAAGGUACUUUUUCAUUUACUUUUACCCGUCUUUCGACUGUGAUUUCUGGAAAUUGAAUCCCAUUGCGUGUAGUGAUUGUCCCAACCUCCUCAUUCUCUACAACUUUUACUACCAUUACUUGCUGUUUAGGAUUUAUGUCAGUGUCGCUUGACAAUGCUCCUUGUUGUCUUUCUGAGAGUGCUUUAGCUAUUUGUCCCAUUUGAUUCUCCAAAUUUUUUAUGGCAGCAUCCUGAACUUGCAAGCUCUUAUUCGUUCUCUGCAUAUGUUGAGUGGACAUUUCUGUUAACUUAGUCACAAGAUCUUCUAACGAAGUCUUCUUCUCAUUCUGCUGAAAUUCGGGUGGUGCGGUCUGCUGUGGAGCAAUGUGAGCUCCCUGAUUAUUACUCCAUUGAAAACCUGGGUGAUUUCUCCAGUCUGGGUAAUAUGUGUUAGGAUUUGGAUUGUGUUGUUGCCUUUGAAAAUUCUGAGUGUAGUUCACGUCUUCUAUUUUCUGAGCAAAAUGAGAUCCUAUGUUACAAUCAACACUCUCGUGGUUCCCUCCACAAUGUUUGCAUUUCGGUCCCACUGUUUGGGCUACACUCAUCUGAUUUACCUUUUGUGCCAAUGAUGCCAAUUGUGCUAAAAGUGCUGUUAAAGAAUCAACUUCGAAUACCCCAACAACUUUCUUUCUGCUCGUUCUUUCAGUAGGCCAAAGUACACUGGUAAAUGCCAAAUCCUCCAUGAUUUGGUAGACCUGGUUCGCGGUUCUUUUUGUGAUAGAACCAUCGCACGCAGAGUCUAUGUUUGCCCUGCUAUUCGGGUUCAAACCAAUGUAAAAGUAUUGCACUUGAAGCCAUUUCUACAAUCCGUGUUGUGGGCACUGGCGAAGUAAACCCUUGUAUCAUUCCCAAGCCUCUGAAUAGCAUUCUGAGUCCAUUUGCUGAAAAAUGGUGAUCUUGUCCCUUAGCCUUGCAAUCCUUUUUGGUGGGAAAUAUUUGCUAUGAAAUUUCUGACUCAAUUGGUUCCAUGUUGUAAUGCUCUGCGGUGGGCAAAUGUCUAACCAUUCCCUUGCUGAAUCCCUCAAUGUGUAUGGGAAGAGCCUUAGUCUAAUUGCUUCGCUUGAAACCCCCGAAUACUCAAUUGUUGCACACAUGUCCAGAAAUCUUGAUAUAUGAGCGUUGAGAUUCUCUGUAGCUUUCCCAAAAAAUUGUAGCGCAUUUUGGAACGUGUUGAUGACAUCUGUCCUCAGGUGGAAGUUUGCCUGAUCAAACGUCGGAUAUACGAUACUCGACUGGCUUUCCACUACCGGUGGAACCAUAUAUUCUCCCAUGAGCCUUGCAUUUUCAUUGACUACAGCGAUAUUCGGUUGUGCUACUCCUAGAUUAGCCCCGAUGGCUAAUUGAUUCGGAUUUUCGUUUGCCAUGUCUUCCUCUUUCUAUUUUUGAUGUGUUUCAAGCUGUUGUCUUCUUUGAAAGUUGAAUGUUCGUUCGAUUUCUGGGUCAAAUUGAGCAAGAUCACCAGUUCUUGAACUUCGCAUACAAAGUCUUGAAAAAGAAAGCAAGAAACACUGUAAAAAAAAUUUAAAUUAAUGAACUAAACUAAAAAUAAGAAAAAUUCAGAUUAAAGUUAAAAUUAACUAAAACUAGUCAAAAACAAUAGUCCCCAGCAACGCCUCCAAAAACUUGAUCGAUUGAUUACCUGCAAGUGAACGAGAUCGUGAACAAGUAAUAAAGUGGUGUGUAGAGUAUCGAACCCACGAGGAUUAUGUGUUUGAUCGAGUUAAAACUAAUAAUUCCCUUAAUCGAAUAGCAAGGUCAAGUUGUAACUAACACUAUUAAAUCUAUCAACUAAAUAGAAAGCAAGUAAAAAUUUAUCAAAUUUGCGAGAAGUAUUGCUAAGAUGUGGAAUCCCCUUGCUACUCCAUUUUUAGUUCGACAAUUUAAAUUGACAAUUUGAAAUCAUGCUUGUUGGUCAAUGUUCCUAUUUUAAUUGAAAACCUCUCUCGAUAGUUAUCAAAUAUAUUCCCCUCAUGCGACCUUCCUAUUAUUCGAUGAAAGAUGCGAACAUGAUAAAUGCAUUAAACGAGCUAGAACAUCUUAUAAAAACCAUAUGAAGCAUAGAGAUAUAUCUCCAUCUUUUAUCGAACCUCACAAUUUAUAUUAUUUUGUGCUAAUGAUCCUAUUGUCUCUCUCGAUAACAACAAAAUUCACAAACAAUUCAACUAUUGGCCAAUUAAUUGAAAGACAUGAAAACGAUAAUAAACAUCCAAAUAAUUAAACAAAUUAAAGUCAAUUAAAUUAUUCAAAUUAAAAAUUCAUAACAAGGGUUCAUCACAUCCUAGCAAAUAUGAAAAAUUAGCCUAACAUAUUUAAAUUACAAGAAAUCAUGUAUAAGUGGAAAGACAUAACCCGGAUUUUUGAUAAAUUGAGAAGAUGAAGACAAAUCUUGAAAUUUUGAAUCUCUUCAAUAGUUUCUUAAUAAAUCUCCACUUGCGUUCUCUCUUCUUUGUCUGAUACCAAGUUUGAAUCUUCACUUGAUUGAAUUCUUGCAAGUCCCCUUCAAUUCUCUCACAAAAAUAAUGAAUUCUCUCCUCCUUUGAUGAUGGUAAUUGAUGAAUAUAUAGGAGUAUAUUAUGUAUAAGAGAAAAGUAUGAGAGCCCCUUUGUGUAUUCUCCUGUUAAGUAUCUGUAGUGGUUAAAAAUUGGUGAAAAAUCACAUCCAAAUUGGUUUCCAAAAGAGUUCCAAUUGAAUAAGGAAAGUUACUCUCGUGCGCGUUGUCUCUACAUAGUAGUCAGUAUUUUGAUCAUAACUUUGUCUCCCGAUAUCCGAUUGAGUUGUUUCAAAAUGCUUUGGAAAGAUAAUUAAACGGGAUACAAUUUUUCUAGAAAUAUGUGUUUUCCAAUUCGGACGUUUACUAUACCAAAAAUUGGUCGCAAUCCUUGGCUAAAAAUCUGAAAAAUAUAUCAUGUAAUUGGAAGUCGAUUUAUGGUAAUAUUCUGAUGAUAUUCCAUUCCUUUUUUACUUCUAAUUGCAUCCAAUUGACUCCCAUCAACCUUUAAAAUAUCUCUUAUGGUCCAAUUCAACCAUUGGAUAUUUGCAAUUUUGUCCUCAACUUUGUACUUCGCCGUUUUUCGCCGUUUUCCACUUCUUUCUUUUGGUUUAACUUCCAACCAUCGAGUUUUUACCUAAUAAAUGAAAUAUACAACAAUUUAGGCUAUAAUUGCUUUGAAUAACUAUUAAAUGUCUAUAUUUUUAGGUUUACAUAAGUGUAUAAAAUACACUUAUCAAGAAGGAAUGCAAUCGUAAACAAAAAUAUUUCAAACGAAAUGGUGGUCUUUUAUUACGGCAACAAAUAUCUACUAAAGAAGGCCAUGUAGAAAAAACAAGACUUUUCACAGCUAAGGAGUUAUCAAAGGCAACCGAUCAGUUCAAUGAAAGUAGAAUACUUGGACGAGAUGGUGAAGGUAGAGUUUAUAAGGGCAUGUUAUCUGACGGGAGAACUGUUGCAGUAAAGAAGUCCAAGUUAGUAGGUGAAAAUGGAUUGGAUGAGUUUAUAAAUGAGGUCGUAAUCCUUUCUCAAAUUAACCACAGAAAUGUUGUUGCGCUACUUGGAUGUUGUUUGGAGACAGAAGUUCCUUUGUUGGUUUACGAGUUUAUUGCUAAUAGAACCCUCUUCAAUCACAUCCAUGACCUGAGUGCUGAGUUUCCUAUGACAUGAGAUAUGCACCUAAAAAUUGCAGCAGAGGUAGCAGGAGCUCUUGCUUAUCUACAUUAUUCAACUUCCACACCCAUUUAUCACGGGGACAUCAAGUCGAGCAAUAGCCUUCUAGAUGAAAACUAUAGACCCAAAGUGUCAGAUUUUGGAAUUUCAAGGUCUAUCGCAGUAGAUAAAACUCACUUCACCACCUUAGUUAAGGGGACCUUUGGCUAUCUAGAUCCAGAAUACUUCCGGUCAAGCCAAUUUACUGAUAAGAGUGAUGUCUAUAGCUUUGAUGUUGCUCUUAUUGAGCUCUUAUCAGGACAGAAACCAAUAAUUUCAAGUGAUAUAGAAGAUGAAAGAAGUUUAGCUGUGCGUUUUCUUAUGUCUAUGGAACAAAACUGCCUUCAUAAAUUUUUUGACCCUAUAAUUUUAGAGCAUGAUAAAGAUGAAGACAUUAUUACUGUUGCUACUUUAGCAUAUAGAUGCUUGGAUUUGAAUGAGAAGAAAAGGCCAACAAUGAAAAAAGUCAGCAUGGAAUUGGAGAAUAUCAGGCUAUUUAAGGUGCAAGCGACUGUCCAAAGGAAUACGCAAGUAAUCAGCACUAAAGUGGGAUCAGUAUCGCUAUCAGACCUCAACUCCACAUGGACAUCUAGUGAUCAUGAGAGCAGUGUACCAUCAGAAACCAAUCCUUUGCUACAUUACACUGUUUGAUGGAACUAGCAUGCAUGUUUUAUGUUCUUGCAAUUAGGACUAAAACAAAGUUGGUUUUAUUAUAAAAACAGUAAUAAAAUAUAUUUUUGUGACUUUUCUGUUACAGUAAGAUACAGUAAUUCAAAAUUUGUUCCCAGAUGGAGAGAAUAGAGAAUGGGAGGAAAAACUGAGGCACACAAGUAUGGGCAUUGGGACCUUUAGGAUUAGUCCCUACCAAGAUUUUUCUUUAUCCAAAUGUUAAGGUUCUUAAGAUUACAUUUUGGAAAGUGAUUCGAACACGAACAUGUGUUAAGAACCCCUAAUAAAUUUCUUAGAUUACAGUUUUGGAAAGGCAUUACAAUAAUGGGUAUAAUGUUUACAAAAUUAAAACAAAAAGACAUAAUACUUGAGAUCUACAAGUAUUAUCCAUUUUUCCACAGCUCAUUUCUAUAUAUCUUAUAAUUUAAACUGAAAUGGUGGUGGAAUAAUACCUCUUGAUCUACCUGGUGGCCAUUCGCGUUCUUGCUACUUCGACGUGCGUAUACAACCUGAAAAGUGAGGACGGGGCUUUCUCCCUCAUUUUACCUUUGGCAUAAGAAUCAGUAUAAGUGUUAGGAAAAAUAAGGAUAGAGUCCAGAUAGCUAAAAAAAUGUCAAUCCCCUUACUUGUGUCGCCUUCGGGAGUAUUUAUAGGAGCUGAAAGUUGGGUGAAUGCCGGGCAAUCAAGGUACCACGUGUUCCACGUUGGCUUUUCCACUACCCCACGUUCUCCUGGGGGAUCUAUAACUUCCCGCCUAGAGGCUGUGCCCAUAAUAACCGCCAUGGAGCUUUGUCAAUUUACCUGAGACUUUUUGACUAAGUGUUAGGGUGGCCACAUAGGUCACUUUCGGGGGGUAGAUGAUUUUGCGUAAAGGUAGAGCGCUUCGGGGGGUCGAUGGCCUCACGUAAAGGUAGAGCGCCCUCGGGGGGUCAAUGACCUCGCGUAAAAGUAGAGCGUCCCAGGGGGAUCGAUGGACUCACGUAAAGGUAGAGCUCCCCAGGGGGGUCGAUGGCUUCGAUUUAAAACUACCGCAAGUGUACGGUUCGUUAACAAGUAAUAAAGUAGAUUAAAUGAGUCCGAAUAUCGUCCCACAGAGAUUGAUUAGUUCAAUUUUACCUAUCGCUGCCUUAACUGAAACUAAAUUACUAAAGUGAAUGUGAACCUAUUAAAACCCUAAUUUCGAAAAGAAAACCCUAAUUAUGCAAUUUUUAUGAUUGAAUUAAAUUAAAUAUAAAAAAUAAUAUUUUUAACACUCUAAAAUGAAAUCAAAUGUUGAGAACACACGUUUGUUGUAAUCAACAGAAAUUAAACACACUAGGAUCACGAUUUUUAAUGCAAUUAUCACUUUAAAACCCUAGUUUCACAAUGUGACAACACACUUCAAUUGUGACGAAUCAAUGUUCCUAAGUCUAUCGAAUACUCUCUCUCGAGAUGUAUCGAACCUAUUUCUACAUACCACUGGCCUAUAUUUCUAUGACAAGUGUAUAUGUAAAAAUGCAUGCGAUUUUAUGAACACUUAAAGAUUCACAUAGGGCAUAGCAGUAUAUUUCUAUCCCCUAUCUGACCCUACGAUGAUUUAUAUUAUGUCGAACCUAUUCCAAUUAUCUCGAAUGCAAGAAUAAAUCACCCAAACUCACACAAUUAUGGGCCCUUAAUUGCGGAAACAAUAAUUGCAUAUAAAUCAUUCAAAACAAUAGAAAUAUGUCUUGAUGUCAAAUUGCAAAACUAGAAAAUUAAAGAUCAAAUUACAUGGCACAUCGAUCUCCUAGCACAUGAAAAUCUAGCCUAACAUAGUUAAAAUAAAAGAAUAUAUCAGACUUUGGAUAAAAGGCAUCACCGGGUUAUGAAAUCUUGAGAAAUCUUGAAGCUCUUCGUGUAAAUCUUCGUUCUUGCGCUCAAAAUCCUCUCCAAGAAGUGUUUUUGUGCAUCCAAUAUGUUUUGCCUCUUUCUAGACGUCUUUUGGUAUUUAUAUCGCGCGAAAAUUAGGUUACCAAAAGAGUUUCAGUCGUAUAAGGAAACUACAGAAUCGACCCCGAAUCUUUGUUCUAUGUGAUCACAUAGUAAAUUUCUAUGCGGUUGCAUAGAGUAAAAAGAUUUGAGAAAAAAUUCUCGGAAGGCCUCUAUGCAACCGCAUAGAGGAUAGCAUAGUGCUACCAACUAUGCAGAAUGUCUAUUUUGGUCCUUAAACUUUCAUUUUUCUUCAUUUUAGUCCCUUUGCAAUUCCUUCUUCUUCCAAUCAUUUUGUAUCGCUUUUGAGUUCAUACUUAGCAUAUUUGUAUUCCCGGGUUGCCUUUUAGUUCAACUUUUGAAUAUUUGCAUCCUUAGUCCCUGAACUAUCACUUUACUCCAUUUUAGUCCUUUUUCGGCUCUUUUCUCCUGAAUUCCACCAUUUCCAUAGAAACGCCUACAUUGCAUGAAUUCAAUGAGAUUAAGUUACAAUUUAAACAUUUUGCUCGUAAUUAAAUCAUGUUUGUGAUCUAAAUAAGUGUACCAACCCCCCCAACUUGAACUAUUGUUUGUCCUCAAACAAGAUAGUGACUUAAUUCUGAACAAACAUGGCUUAAUUCCCUAUCGUGGCUCAGGAUUGGACUAAGUAUUUGACUUUAUGACAAUUUAUCACUGCAAAAAUGACAUCAACCUUUACCUGUUAAAUGCAUACUUGACGUGUGUGUGUGAAUUCAUGCCAACAUAUCAAAUUCAUAAUGGGUUGAGUCCCGACCCCAAGUGGUCAAAUGUAUCCUUACUCGCUCGAGAGAUACACAACCCCCCAAACUCCCCAAACUUACUCUUUUCACUCAAUUAUCCCGAGGUUGUGUUUUAAAAUUAGGAGUUUACAUAGCUGUAGUCCUCACCCUCUCGUAGUUUGGAUUAAUCUCACUAUCACAAGUUUACAUUUCAACAAGUGAAGGCUCUCCCAAGUUUGAUUGCUUCGACACUCAAGAUUAAAAUAGGUUACUUGCCUCGCCUCAAAGGUAUAGUUUCCUGAACCAAAUGUCUAAGGACUUUUCUUCAUGUUAUUGUCUCUUUUUUAUUUUUCUCACUUUCCAUUUUUUUAAUCAUAUUCUCAUUUACUUUCUAUAUAACCCAUGUAACGAGCUUUAGACUAGUUACUCCCAGGCCAGUUGACCUUAGGGCACCAGGUUUUAAACCCUUGCAGGCUUAUUCACUCAAGUUAUAAACGCAUGAUCAGAUGACUUUUUAUUAACCUCUUCCCUUUUGCUUUCUAUAUGACCCCUUUAGUGAGCUUUAGGCUAUUGACUCCCAAGCCAGUUGACCUUAGGGCACCAGGUUUUGAAAUAUUCUUACAGGCUUAUUUGCUCGAGUCAUAAAGGCAUGAAAAGAAGUGUCUUAUUCUCACAAAUUAAUUUUAUGCCCUUAUUGUUCUAGACAUUUGGUUUCCAAAACCAAUCCCCAAUUUAAGAUUUUCACCUAAUCUUCACCACUGGUCUAGGCAAUCCACACAAUAAAAUUUCAUGCACGGAUCCCCCGCUUAUCUCAAUGCUCCCUAUGAGAGAUCAACCAAUUCCAAACUGUCUUAAGGUGAUUUACGUGUUAAUUCAAUACAGGGUUAUCAUUCCUUUCCUACUUUAUGCUCAAAAUCUAGUCAUUCACCUAACAUGUCAAGCAUGAAUAGCGUGCAUAGAUAAUGUCAAGUAUUGCAUCACAAGUAUUGAUUAAUCUAUUUAGCACUAUAUCUAAAGUUCAUAAAUUAUACCAAUCCAAUAAUCACAUCAUAGCCGGCAAGGCUAUCAAGCCCACACAAGAAUGUAAAAGUAUAAUCAACACUCACUCAUCAAGCAUGCAUCAUGCAACAAUUAGUUAAUAAUAACGACGGACUGUGAAAAUGCAAAAUAAUUACAUGCUGACUAUUUGUUUUAAAUUAUGCCACCAUCCUCCAAACUUAUACAGUACAUUGUCCUCAAUGUAAAAAUUAAAGUUUAAAUGACAUAAUUUAAGAAAAAAAAUGAACACAAAAUAGUAAAAUGAGGUAAACAAAACUCCCCUGAUCAAUACGGUGGCUGUGAUGGGAGGCUGGGUCCUGUAGCAUCAUCUCCAGAAGGGGGAGGAAGGCGGGAUAAAAUCUCUCUCAACAGGCCAGACUGUUAGGUCUGCUCCACUUGCAUAGCCUGAACCCUGGUCUCCAAACUUCCUAAAUGGUCCCAUGUCUCAUUCACUCGCCACUGUAUACCAUCCAUCCUGCCAAUGUACAUUCCCAAUCUCCCAUCAAAAGUACUCAUCUCUCUUCUUGUUGCAAGGGACUCACUGGUGGCAUUGGAUGUAAAGUUUCUUGUGAUUGCCAUAUCAUUCUGCAUCUGCUGGAUGGUGGCACUCAUUGCUCCAAAUGAUUGCUGAAGACUCUGCAUGUCUCGACUGUGUCCUAUCAUAGUGGCAAACAUUUGCCUCAAUAACUGGGUAUCAAUGUUAAUCGGUGGUGGAAGAACUUGUGGCAUCUCGAAGUUCUCAGCUGCUUGUCCUUUCUCAGCCUGUUGCUGUCGGCAUCGCUCAUUUUCUAACUUCUGUUGAUGUUUAACUCUGGUUUGGUCCUGUGCCUCUAGUGUGAGGUGCUUGAUAUAGGGACUUAGUUUUUUUGGUGCUUCCCCAUGCUGGACUUGUAUGCCCGCAGCUCUACAUAUCCCACUUAUCAAACUUGGGAAAAUUAGUGAGGUGUACUUGUCUCCCCAUGUGCCUAUAUUCUGUAUCUGGUUGUAGAUGCAUGUGGCCAAAUCAAUCUUGUUUCCCCGAACCAAAUGAUAGAUAAACCCCGCCUUUAGAUUUGUGAAUGUUGUCCUAUAGGAUAUGGGCUUGAUGUUGUAGCAUAUGAAUAACCAUAGGAUAGCUAGAGAUGGGGUAAGAUCAAUCUGAUACCAAUCUACAGUCGGUAGAGGCCAAGCAUGCUCACGUCCCAAUAAUACUUCUGCAACCUCAAUCCAAUUGAAAUUAUGUGGGACGAGGACCACAUUAUUCCAGAUUAGCUGAUAAUAGUCAUGAAUCACUUCAGUGAGAACAUAAUCCAUUUACCCCAAACCCAUGUUUGAUGUAGAUGAUUUGAUCUAGGAGUGUCGAUUUCUGUAUUGAAGUUGGCAUAGAACUCCUUCACCAGAUUUUCAUACACUGGAUACGGUCUUUCAAUUACUUUCUCCCAACCACAGUUGUGGAUUAAGUAAACUAAUUCAAAAUCGGGGAAAUCUUCCAACUUAACUGGCCUUUCGGGGAUGAGUGCCCACUCAUGGAUAACAUUGGCGUAACAGGCUGCUGUGUCUGAGGAUAGAAAUCUCUUGACAUCUCCUUCGAGCUUUCUAGUUUGGGCUGUGCCAAAUGCGGAACCAACCUUCUCUUUUCCUUUUGAUGUUCUCUUUGGCGACAUUCUACAAAGGUAAGAAAAGAGGUGUAUCAGGCUAUUGACUUAUGAUAAUUAAGAAAACGAGAGAGGAUGUUUGUGAAGUGCAAAAUCCCCCAAACUUGCUUUAACAUGCAUGUAUAACACAUUGGUGUGCAAGCUUCAAAACAUGAUAUUCAAGAUAGCAGAAAUACUGCACCAAAAGGAAGAACUAAGAAAACUAGGUCGAAACAUGCACAUUUUAAAAAGUGGAUCCAUGACCGAGUGCGCACUUUCGGCCCUGCGUAUCAUCAAGAAUUAUCGACAUUUUCUCGACAACCUCUGAGCAUAUGAAAGAAUUCAAUGAGAUCUAGCACAAACUCAAUUUUCAACUCAAUUGGAUGUCGUUUGGUGUGUCAAAUGAUUGUGUAAAGUAGGGGACGUAAGGUGCCGUGACCUAGCCAUGUGCAUGUGUGUUGAUGUUGGGUGUUGGUGUUUUCUAAUUCAAAUUGUGUGGUAAUGCAUCAAAAAAAGGUAAUCCAUUCAAACAUCAAUCAAAUGCCACACUAGAUGCACAAAAAUGCAAUAGAAGUUUAACUUAGGCAUUUUAUCGAACAUAUUGUGUGCACUAUGAAAUUUUCCUAUUUUGGUUAUUGACGCUUUGUCAAUUGGCUCCACAUUCACAUAUUAAUCACAAACGCAAUUGGCUCCACAUUCACAUAUUGAUCACAAACCUAAAUGUAAUCCUUGUCAAUGACUGAAAAUUUAGACAACCCAAAUCCCAAAUUUCGAAAUUGUAAAGUAAUGUGUAUGGUGCUUACCUUGGAAACUUUAGUAGACUUGUAGGAUUUGAACCCUUUGCUCACUUCAAAUGUGUGAUGGAUUAAAAAUUGGUGCGUGUUUGUUGUGUUGAUAUUAUGGGUUGAGGGUUUGGGAGAGAUGUGGGUGCAUAUAUGUGUGUGAGUGCGAGAGAUGAACGAAGGGAGAGGAAAGGGGAAUGAGUGAAAGUGAACCGAUCAUGGUUUAAAUCAUUGACCGAUUCACCACUAUGCGGCCGUAUAGUUUUAACCUAUGCGGUCGCAUCGUGAUAAGGUUGCCCCCUCAAUUAUUUUCGGUUGAUGUCUAUGCGACCGCAUAGACAUUAUUUCUAUGCUAUCGCAUAGGCAAUUUUUUUUUUUUUUAAGAACAAAACAAAAUAAAAUACAAACAUUGAUUCCUCCUCUUUGAACUCUCUAGCACACAUUUGUCCUUUAGAUUUUUGAAAACGUCCUUUUAUCUUGAAAUGAGUGAAUUAUGCUCUCAAUCACCCAAAACCAUUUCAAGCUUAUCGAACAUGUGUUCUAUGCCUAGGAAUUCAUGUGAACGAUACUUAGAUUUUAUUGACAUGCAUAGAUGAUCGAUGACCUAUACCUAAAAAAUCAAACGUGAAAAUCAAAAUUUCCUAAGCUAAUGCCAAAAUUAAAAGUAAUGAAAAAGAUACAGUGGGUUGCCUCCCACCCAGCGCUAGUUUAUAGUCCAUAGCUUGACUUUUCUGCAGCUGCUUUAUUCUGGCAUCUUGAGUUGAACGGUGGACUUUUAGUUGGAGAAGUCAUCGCCCCAGUAGUGUUUUAGCCUUUGCCCAUUAACAGUGAAAGUACCCUUAGUCUCAUGGUUAACUUGUAUAGCCCUAUAUGGUAGGACUUUCGUGACAGUGUAAGGACUCGACCACCGUGAUUGUAGUUUUCCUGGGAACAGCUUGAGUAUCGAAUUAUACAAUAGCACUUGCUACCCCACAUCGAAUUCUCGCCUCUGAAUAUGCAUGUCAUGCCACUUCUUGGUUCGUUUCUUGUAGAGUUUUGAAUUUUCAUAAGCUUCCAUUCUAAAUUCAUCUAACUCAUUAAGUUGUAGUAGGCGCUUUUCGCCGGCUGCAGUCAAGUCCAUAUUUAACUGUUUCAUAGCCCAAUAUGCUCGGUGCUCCAUUUUUAAUGGCAGAUGGCACGCUUUUUCAAAAACUAGGCGGUAUGGAGGCAUGCCUAUCGGUGUCUUGAAUGCUGUCCUGUAAGCCCACAAUGUAUCAUCCAACUUUUUAGACCAGUCCUUUCUAGAUGAGUUCACUAUGAGCUCAAGUAUUAUCUUCACCUGCUGAUUAGAUACUUCAACUUGCCCGCUGGUUUGUGGAUGAUAUGGGGUAGCAACAUGGUGUUUAAUGCCAUAUUUAUUCAAUAGCUACUCAAACUGGCGAUUAUAGAAGUGUUUGCCCCCGUCACUGAUCAUAGCUCGCGGUGUACCAUAUCGGGUGAAAAUAUAUUUCUUCAAGAACCCAAUUACUGCCUUUGAGUCAUUUGUUGGUAGUGUAACUGUUUCCACCCAUUUUGAUACAUAGUCCACUACUACCAAGAUGUACUGAUUUGAGAAUGAAGGGGGAAAAGGUCCCAUGAAGUUAAUUUCCCAAACAUCGAAUAUCUCCACUUCCAAAAUGUUAUUCAGCGGCAUUUCAUUCCUCCUUAAGAUAUUUCCAGUGCGUUGACAUCUGUCACACCCCUUGACAAACUCAAAGGCAUCUCUAAACAGUGUAGGCCAGUAAAACUUUGAUUGUAGAAUUUUGCAGCUGUUUUCGAAGCCCCAAAGUGCCCUGCAUAUGCAGAUGAGUGGCAAUGCUCGAGAAUCUCAUGUACUUCUUCUUCAGGUAUACAUCUCCUUCAUAUCUGAUCAGCCCCUCGCCGAUAGAGAAUUGGAUCCUCCCAGAAAUAAUACUUUAAUUCGUUGAAGAACUUUUUCCUCUGGUGACUUGAGUAGUCUGACGGUGGGAUGGAACCGGCCAAGUAAUUGACGAUAUCUACGUACCAAGAUGCUUCAUCUACUCUCAACAUCUGCUCAUCCGGGAAGAUCUCAUUGAUGUCCACUAAUUCUUCUGUCUCCCUAGGCCCUAAUCGGGAUAGGUGGUUUGCUACUACAUUCUCACUGCCCUUCUUAUCUUGUAUCUCGAUAUCAAAUUCUUGCAGCAACAGCACCCAACGAAUCAAUCUCGGCUUUGCAUCCUUCUUUGUGAGUAGAUACUUCAAUGCAUCAUGAUCUAUGUAGACGAUGACUUUAGACCCGAUAAGGUAUGAUCGAAAUUUGUCGAAUGCAUAUAUCACGACCAACAGCUCCUUUUCAGUGGUGGCAUAAUUGAUUUGCGCAUCAUUUAAAGUUUUGCUUGCAUAGUAGAUCACAUGAAAAAUCUUGUUCCUCUGCUGUCCUAAUACUGCACCCACGGUGUGAUCACUGGUAUCACACCUCAAUUCAAAAGGCAGUUUCCAGUCUGGUACCAUGAUUACUGGUGCUGUCGUGAGUUUCUCCUUUAAAGUGUUGAAUGCUAUGAAACAUUCCUCAUUAAACUCAAAGGCCACACCUUUCAUUAGCAGAUUGUAUAACGGCUUAGUGAUCUUUGAGAAAUCUUUUAUAAAUCUCCUGUAGAACCCCGAUGCCCCAAGAAGCUGCAAACUCCUUUAACUGAUGUAGGCGGUGGUAACUUCUCAAUAACUUGAAUUUUUGCCUUAACGACCUUAAUUCCUUUUGCCGAGAUCCGAUGCCCGAGUAGAAUGUCUUUCUGCACCAUAAAGUGACAUUUCUCCCAAUUUAAAACCAUGUUAGUCUCCUUGCAUCUCUAUAAGACCAAAUUUAGGUGUUCUAGACAUUCAUCGAAUGAAGAUCCAAACACUGAGAAGUCGACCAUGAAAACCUCAAUAAACCUUUCAAUCAUAUCGGAGAAUAUUACCAUCAUAUACCUCUGAAAUAUAGCUGGAGCAUUGCAAAGACCAAAAGACAUCCUACGAUAAGCAAAAGUACCGUAGGGGAAAGUUAAAGUGGUCUUCUCCUGAUAAUCUGGUGCGACAGGUAUCUGAUUGUAGCCCGAGUAUCCAUUAAGGAAGCAGUAGUGUGAAUGUCCAGCCGACCUCUCCAACAUCUGAUCAAUGAAUGGAUGUGGAAAGUGAUCCUUUCGUGUAGCUGCAUUGAGUUUGGAUAAUCGAUACAAACUCUCCAUCCCAUAACUGUUCUUGUGGGAAUUAAUUCAUUCUUCUCAUUUUCACCACUGUGAUUCCCCCUUUUUUCGGCACCACUUGAACUGGACUAAUCCAUGCACUAUCUGAAAUUGGGUAGAUAAUUCCUACAUCCGGUAAUUUUAAUAUCUCUAUCCUGACUACUUUCUUCAUGUUUAGAUUCAAUCUUCUCUGACCCUCUAUACUUAGCUUGUAAUUUUCUUCCAUUAGAAUUUUAUGCAUACACAGAGAAGGGCUGAUCCCUUUAAUGUCAGCUAUUGUCCACCCAAUCGCCGUCUUGUUCUCUCUGAGUACCCUGAGCAAUUUUUCUUCAUCCACCUCACUGAAUAUGUUCAAAAUGAUUACUGGAAGUGUAUCUGACUCCCCCAAAUAUGUAUAUCUGAGAUGUGGCGGUAGUUGCUUGAGUUCCAAAACUGGCAGUUGCUGAAUGGAAGGUAAUGACUUUGUAUUUCCCAUCUCCAGUUCCUCGAAGUGCCUCUUUCGAGUGUAUGGAGGGUUGGUCUCCAUAAACCUUGCACAUGUUUCAACUUCAAGAGAAUCUGACUGAACUGAUUGGGAUUGUGCAAUGCAUGCCUUAUAGGCGUCAGAUGGGCCAUGAAUUAAGAAUGUUUCUUGGAUUGACUUGUCAAUGAUGUCAACUUGGUAACAGCUAUCUGAUUCUGCUGGCAGUUUCAUGGCCUUGAAUACAUUGAACAAUAACUACUCCUCUCCCAAUCUUAAGAUCAACUACCCCCUUUGAACAUCAAUUAAUGCUCUCCCUGUUGCCAGAAAUGGUCUGCCAAGUAUCAAUGAGACAUCCUUUUCUUCUUCCAUGUCCAAUAUAAGAAAAUCUGCUGGGAAUAUGAACUUUUCAACCUUGAUAACCACAUCUUCAAUUAUCCCUCUGGGAUGUGUCAGUGACCUAUCUGCCAGCUGAAGUGUCACAGUAGUCGCUUUAGCUUUUCCCAAGUCGAGUUUCCUAAAAAUAGAUAAAGGCAUUAAAUUAAUACUUGCAUCGAGGUUACAUAAUGCUUUAUCAAAAUAAACUUCACCAAUAGUGCAAGGAACAGUAAAACUCCCUGGCUCUUUCAGUUUUGGUGGGAACUUUUUCUAGAUUCUGGCACUGCAUUCCUCCGUAAGCAUUACUGUCUCAUGGUCCUCCAGCUUGUCUUUGUUUGAUAUAAUAUUUUUGAGAAACUUCGCAUAGCUAGGCAUCUGGAAUAGUGCAUCGGCUAGUGAGAUGUUGAUAUGGAGCUUUUUAAAGACUUCUAGGAAUUUUUUGUACUGUUACUCCAAUUUUUGCUUCUUCAAUCGCUGUGGAAAGGGAAUCGAAGGGUCGUAUGGGUUGACUGUGACUUUGACCUUAUCUUGUGACUUUUCUGAAUUUUCCUUUGGAGUUGAUUCCUUUACAACAGUCUCUACUUCAGCAGAUGUCUCUCCAAUCACACCCGGUCUCUUGACAUGAAUUUUAGGCAAUUGUACUCCACUCGAGUUGUAAUGGCCUUGGCUUGCUCUUUGGGAUUGAUUUCUGUGUUACUCGGCAAGUUACCUGGCGUUCUGCCAGUCAAUGCGAUGGCCAACUGCCCCAUCUGAGUUUCUAAAUUUUUGAUGGCUGCAUUUUGAUUUUGAAGUGUAGCUUCGGCUUUUUCCAUGAAUUUUCCUAUCAUAUCUUCCAAUUGAGGCCUCUUCUCUUGUUGUUGAAAUUGUCCCUGUGGCCUAUUUUGAUUCUGGUUGCUCCAAGAGAAGUUGGGAUGCUUCUUCCAACUGGGGUUGAAGGUUUCUCCAUAUUGAUUGUGUUGUUGACGUUGUCCCCACUGUGCAUAGUUGCUUGCUCAAUUCCUUGCAUGAGUAUUGGGCAUUCCGAUGUUUUAUGCUCAACUCCACACUCCUCAUAAUUGCUCUUCUUAGCUUGUGCUAUUUGUGAUAUGCUUUCCACCUUGUGAUACUGAGAGUCGAUUUUUGCAGAUAUUGCUCAAUAAGUAUCCACCUCGUAGACACCCGGAGUUUUCCUUGGAAUCGCCCUCUUAGAAGACCAUAUGGCUGAUGUGGUAGCCAUUCUCUUAAAUAAUUACAAUGCCCCCAUCAACUGUUCGUGUGGAUAUUGAGUCAUCUGACGCUGAAUCCACCAGGCUCUUUUGGUAUGGAAGUAAACUUGUGUAGAAGAAUCGGAUUUGGGUCUUUUUAUCAAACCCAUGUUGAGUGCACUUCCGGAGCAUGUUUUUGAAUUCGUUCCAAGCUUCGUCAAAUAAUUCGAUUUCUCUUUGACUGAAUACUGAUAUGUCAUGUCUCAGCUUCGCUAUCUUGGCUGGGGAGAAAAACUUUGUGCAGAAUUUGUGUGCCAACACGUUCUAUGUAGUGAUACUUACAACCGGAAGUAAAUCCAACCAUUCAAGUGCUCUGUCUCGUAGCAUAUGCGGAAAUAGCCUUAGCCUAAUAGUGUCAUUCGAAAUUCCUUGGUAUCUGAAAUGUUGACACAUAUCCAAAAAUCGAGAUAUGUGUGUAUGUGAAUUCUCCUCGGCUUUGCCAUAAAAUUGGUGUCCAUUUUGAAAUAGAUUUAUCACAUUGGUCUUCAAUUGGAAAUUUGGUUGCCCAAAUGGUGGAUACACUAUGCUGGAUUGACUUUGAAUUACUUGAGGAGUCAAGAAAUCUCCUAGAAUCUCAUUUCCUUCGUCCAUUGUCUCUCCAUCAUUAGCUUGAAUAAUGGGAUUGUUUAGUUCGUUAGCCAUUUGUAUUUGUGCUUCUCGAAAAUCUCUUUGUAAUCGAUGAAAGGUGCGCUCGAUUUCAGGAUCAGCUGGAAUCAAUUCUCCUCCAAUCGAUCGUGGCAUGCAAAUCUGAGAAACAAAACCAGUACGAGCACUGAGAUUCAAACAAUUUAAAUAAUUAAAACACAAAUAAAGGAUAAUAAUCUAAAAUAAAAAUAAAAACAAAAUUAUACUAGCAAAAUAAAAAUUGACGUUCGAAUUAGUGCCUCGAGAAAUAAAAUUAAACAAAACUCAAUCCCCGGCAACGGCGCCAGAAACUUGUUCACGAAAUUGUUUCUUUCGAUUUAAAACUAUCGCAAGUGUACGGUUCGUUAACAAGUAAUAAAAUGCAUUAAAUGAGUCCGAAUAUCAUCCCACAGAGAUUGAUUAGUUCAAUUUUACCUAUCGUUACCUUAAUCGAAACUAAAUUACUAAAGUGAAUGUGAAUCUAAUUAAAACCCUAAUUUCGAAAAGAAAAUCCUAGUUAUGCAAUUUUUAUGAUUGAAUUAAAUUAAAUAUGCAAAAUAAUAUUUUUAACACUCUAAAAUGAAAUCAAAUGUUGACAACGCACGUUUGUUGUAAUAAAUAGAAAUUAAACACACUUGGAUCACAAUUUCCAAUACAAUUAUCACUUUAAAACCCUAGUUUCACAAUGUGACAACACACUUCAAUUGUGACAAAUCAAUGUUCCUAAGUCUAUCCAAUACUCUCUCUUGAGAUGUAUCGAACCUAUUUCUACAAACUAUUGGCCUAUAUUUCUAUGACAAGUGCAUAUGUAAAAUGCAUGCGAUUUUAUGAACACUUAAAGAUUCACGUAUGAUAUAGCGGUAUAUUUCUAUCUCUUAUUGGGUCCUACGAUGAUUUAUAUUAUGUCAAACCUAUUCCAAUUCUCUCGAAUGCAAGAAUAAAUCACCCAAACUCACAUAAUUACGGGCCCUUAAUUGCGGAAACAAUAAUUGCAUAUAAAUCAUUUAAAACAAUAGAAAUAUGUCUUAAUGUCAAAUUGCAAAACUCGAAAAUUAUGGUACAUCGAUCUCCCGGCACAUGAAAAUCUAGCCUAACAUGGUUAAAAUAAAAGAAUACAUCAGAUAAAAGGCAUCAUUGGGUUAUAAAAUCUUGAGAAAUCUUCAAGCUCUGUGUGUAAAUCUUCGUUCUUACACUCAAAAUCCUCUCCAAGAAGUGUUUUUCCGCCUCUUUCUGAACGUCUUUGGUAUUUAUAUCGUGUGAAAAUUAGGUUACAAAAAGAGUUUCAAUCGUAUAAGGAAACUGCAGAAUUGACCCCGAAUCUUUGUUCUAUGCGACCGCAUAGUACAUUUCUAUGCGGUCGCAUAGAGUAAAAAAAUUUGAGAAAAAAUUCUCGGGAGGCCUCUUUGCGACUGCAUAGUGAAUGUCUAUUUUGGUCCUUGAACUUUCAUUUUUCUUCAUUUUAGUCCCUUUGCAAUUCCUUCUUCUUCCAAUCAUCUUGUAUCGCUUUCAAGUUCAUACUUAGCAUAUUUGCAUUCUCAGGUUGCCUUUUAGUUCAACUUUUGAAUAUUUGCAUCCUUAGUCCCUGAACUAUCAAUUUCCUCCAUUUUAGUCCUUUUUCAGCUCUUUUCUCCUGAAUUCUACCAUUUCCAUAUAAACACCUACAUUGCAUGAAUUCAACGAGAUUAAGUCACAAUUUAAAUAUUUUGCUCGUAAUUAAGUCAUAUUUGUGAUCUAAAUAAGUGUGCAAAAACACACUUAUCAGUGACCCACCUUGUUCGUUGUUGGGGGUGGUUCUCUAGGCUAGCUUAUAUCAUUAGCCUCAUGUCCCUUGUCGAUGUUAUUCGACGAGGGGUAGUAAUUUCCCUAUCCUGGCCCCUUUUUUUUGUCAUUCGCCUAAGUAAGUCGAGCAGUACAAUUUAAAGUUGGAGGCCUAUUUCACUGCACACUUGGCGUCCACCCAAUGGCCCCUAACUUGGAGGGAAUCUUCCGCUCUCAAAAAAAUUCGAAUUUUAUUGCUUAUAAAAAGGGGUGGUCCCUCACAUGUGAAUCAUUUUCUCCUCCUCCCAACAUCUUAGUCUUUCCUCUCUUCCAAGGUAACUUUCUCCUCUUUCUUCUUCAUUUUUUGUAAGAUCAUGUACACGACUAUCAUUUUUUCUUCUUCUUCCGACGAAAGUAGUGGUGGGGGCAGUCGACGUUGAAAAAAAUCUGACUGACUGGUCCGGUGAGGCUGGUUGGCCGAUCAGCAUCUGGUCGAUCGACCAGCCCGCGUCUCCCAUCCGCAAGGCUGGUCGGCUUCAGCCUCCCCACUUCGUCUAGUGGGUUCCCUUGUGAGUUUGAUAGCCGAACCCUUUCAGCUGAUUCGCAAGGGUUUAUUUCAAAUUUGCCCAAGAGACAUAUUGACUCUACCAAGUCUCCAAACCAAAACUUAGAAAUCGGAUGGAUCCGGCUGGCGAGAUCGUCCUUCUUGAAAUUUCAAAAAGUUUCAGUCUCUAUAAUUCAUUACUUAAGUUGGAAAAAUGUCUCGCUAGGUAUGAUAGGGUCAAUAAUUAUGUCUAUAGAGCCCCAGGUCCCAAAGAAAGACUUCCCGAAUUCGAUCCGCGUAAGGUAGUCAUGUAUAAGGACAUUAUGGUUGGAGGUUUCGAUUUUCCAUUCACCCCUUCUUGGUGUCAAUUUUCAAUGAAUUCUACCUUACCCCUAGUUAAAUUAACCCCAAUGCAUGGAGAAAGGCAUUGUAUUUCUUGUAUGUUUGCCUUAAGUAGAGAAUUCCAAUUUCUAUAGACCUUUUUAGAUGGGUCUUCGAGAUGCAUGAACUGGCUCAGUGCAAUGCGUUUAUCUUUUUCACUACUAGGAUCCCUUUGCUCUUUCCCAAGUUUAGGAAUUCGAACAGCGGGGGAAAAUCUCGGUUCUUCUUUGUCCAGCCUCCCGAAGGUUGAUUUUCCUUCAAUACCAACUGGCGAUAUCCCUAAAUUUGCCUUUUCAAUAGCAAAGUAAAAUUACUCCUCUUCUAAAAACUCAAAUCCAGGAGUUGGUCGAUGUACCCCCUUCGCACCUGACUUAGGAUUAGUUUUGACCAUGAAGAACAUGUUAAUAGUAGGGAUGAGUCGUCCUACUGGUAGGUGGUUUUGUUGACUUUUGCGAUUUUUUACUUGCACAUAUUUUUUCUUGUUGCUUUUCUAGGAUACUAUGUUUUGGCUUAUGUAUGUAGAUAUGGAUUUUGGAUGAGGUAUUGAAGACCCUAUCGGGUGGCGACGAGGACCUUGCUCAUAUUGAUGAUGAGCUCUCAAGGUCCUCUUUCUUGCUUCAUACUUCCAUGUUUCUUUUUGUAAACUUAAUGGACCUUACUUUUCAUGCACAAGGAUGGAGUUUGAUUUAGAGGGAACCAUGGAUUCUAUGCUGGAGCAGGGGCGUAUGAGCGAUGUUGAUCCGUCUCCCAUCCCUUUAAAAAGGAAGAAGACAACCAUCCAGGGAGGAAGGUCUCAGAUGGCACAAGAGACCCCCAGCCUUCGGAUGAGCCUAUCGAGGUUGUCCCAGCUCCUAGGCUACACACUUCUAGUCGUAUGCAGUGCGAGCGCGAAGAUUCACUUUCGAAUUUCGAGUUUCCUCCUACCCAGGGCUAUCAUGAGAUGGGGGUGCUUAAGUCUUUGGAGACAGCUGCUCGGGCCAGGGCGAUUGCAGGAUGUAGCGCAUAUGACAUUAAGAGGGCUACGGUGGUUUAUCUUCAGAGGGUACGUUUAUAAAUCCAUAUCUCUUUUACGCUGAGUUUUAUUCUUUGAGCAUGGUUUUACUACUUGACUCUCACAUUGUCUCCUCUUUCUUAGGUGGUGGCCCUUCAAACCAGGCUUACUGGAUCGAGUCCUCACCUGGCAUUAGAGUUGAAGACUCUUGCAGUAGAAAAGAAGAAAGAGGCUCAUCAUUACAAGAAGAAGAUAUCUUUCUUAAAGAAAUCUCUAGAGACGUCGGAGGCUCGAGCCCGUGAGUAGGAGACAGAGAAUGACAAUCUGCGGUCCGUGUUGGCUCGUGCUCUGGAGGAGGCGGUCAAGAGGUAUAAGGCCUCUGCUGAGUAUACUAGGGACCUAGAGGCAUCUGUGGAGUAGUACAAGUCAUCGUCUCAUUAUGCCAGGGCCUUGCAUUCGUAUGGGGAAAAGGUGAUGGAUGAAUCCAUCAAACUAACCAAGGAGUAGAUAUCGAUCAAGCACCCUUCUAUUGACCCCUCAGGUUUUGAUAAGUUCCUUGCGCAGCGCAAGGAGAAGGAGAGUGGGCGCAGCCAUCUCGAUCACUUGGUCAUUCGUCACGGGGCGGCAAUGGUAAUGCUUCCCCUUUGAGUUGAAGCAUGGCUUAGUAGUAGCAUCUUUUGUUAGUUUCCCUCUUUUUUGUGUCGCCUUUUUUUUCUACUUGUAGUAUCAUUCCCUACUUGUCCGGGGUGUGGGCAAGAGCACAUCACAUGCUUGUUAUUAAUGUUAUCAGCGGUUAUUAAUGUUGAACACAUCGUUCUUUUAACUUGUUUUUUUUAGUGUUGUCUUCCACGUUCAAUUGUUUGAUAGCAUGGGUAAAUGUCAUUCGUCCUGCGCGCACUAGGCUUCAUUAUAAUGGUCGACGACCUUAGCCAACAUUCUGACCAUUUAAGGCUUUCCGCCUAGUUACGUGGACUUGUUGGCCGUUGUGAGAGGAGUCUAGUGGUUAAGGACCUUAGCCAAUUUUUUGGCUUUUCAAGGCUCUCCGCCUAGCCGCGUAGGCUAUGUCGACCAUCAAGAGAUGGUAUGGCGGUUAAGGGCCUUAGCCAAUUUUUUGACUUUUCAAGGCUCUCCACCUAGUCGCAUGGCUAUGUCGACCGUCAGGAGGUGGUCUGACAGUUAAGGGUUUUAGCCAAUUUUUUGGCUUUUCAAGACUCUCCACCUAGCUGUCUGGGCAAUGUUGAUCGUACGUCUUCACGGGAUGAGCAUGGAGAUUCAAGAUUGCAUGUUAGCAUAAAAAAUAUUUGGAUUCGUGAGCUCAAUAGGCGCACCGGGACGUCCCAGCUAGGCUGGCCCUUCCUUAGCGCCCUCAUCAUCCGUCACUACCAAGGUCUUUCAUUAAACACGAUAAAUAAUUGUAACCAAAGGCGCCUUUGUGAGGCGUUGCAUGGAGGGAAUUAAGAAUGCAACCUAUUCUACAUUAUUUACAAGAACAUAGCCUGUGCAUCUAUCCUGAAGUCUACUGGUAAAAUCUUUUGAGAUGCUCUACGUUCCAUGGUCUACCCAGUGGUCUUCCUCUCAUGUCUUUUAGGCUAUAAGCUCCCUUCUCCAGGAUGCGGACUACUUCAUACAGGCCUUCCCAGUUUGGUCAGAUUUUUGUCGAGGAGCGUCCUGCUGCUGCUGCUGCAUCCCUUAAAACGAGGUCUCUUGGCUAAAAGAUUCUUAGUUUCACCCUUUGAUUGAAGUACCCAUCAGCUCUUCAUUUAUAGACCAUCAUCUUGAUCGUCGCAUUUUCACCUCCUCAUGCAGGUCGAGUUCCUCUCUAGUCGUAGUGUCAUUCGGCCGCUUGACUUUCAUCCUACCAAUCUCGCUUAAGAUCUCAACUGGGACUAGUGUUUCCAUCCCAAAGGUUAGUCUGAAUGGCGUUUCUUCGAUCAUUUCUUGUGGAGUCCUGUGAUAUGCCCAUAGCACAUUAAGCAGCUCAUCUGCCCACAACCCUUUCUCAUUCUCCAAUCUGGUCUUUAGAUCCCAGAGAAUGACUCGAUUUAUCACUUUGGCUUGCCCGUUCGAUUGAGGGUGGGCGACCGAGGUUAGUCUAUGAUCGAUGUGAUAACUUGCACCAAAGGUCUUGAAACUAUGAUUAUCAAACUACCUGCCAUUAUCCAUCACCAAUACUUUGGAUACUCCGAACCGACAUAUUAUAUUUUUCCAUACAAAGCCUUGUAUCUUUCAUGUCGUGAUGGUCGAUAGUGGCUUCGCCUCCACCCAUUUGGUGAAGUAGUCAAUGGCGACCAACAAAAACUUCCUCUGCCAUUUGGCCAUGAGCAGAGGUCCUAGAAUGUCCAUUCCCCACUGAAAAAAUGGGCACACCUCAAAUAUGGCUACCUGCUAUUCGGCUGGGACAUGGAUCAUAUUUCCAUGACGCUGGCAUGUGUCACAUUUUCGAACCAACUCUUUGGCAUCAUCUUUCAUAGUUGGCCAAUAGCAGCCCUGUCGUAGAAUUUUGAAGGCAAGGGAUGUUGUCCCUUGGUGGUUACCGCAGGUCCCAGCAUGUACCUCAAACAGUACCUCUUUGGCUUCGGUGGGGCGUAUGAAUUUCAGAUAUGGCAUGGUAAAACCUCGCUUGUAGAGCUACACAUCGAUGAUGGUAAAUGAAGCUACUCGAGCUUUCAAUCUCCUCGCCUCUAGAGGGUCUUCCGGUACCUUAUCUUCUGCUAGAUAUUUGAUUAUCAGAUCCAUCCAACUUUUUUCGUGUUCGAUAUUCUUCAGCUCAACCCAGGCUGAAUGAUGGGUUGUUGUAGAACUUGAACACUCGCUGUCCGAGGUAAGUUUUUUGGGUUGGGCGAUGCGAGCUUUGCUAGUGCAUUUGCGCAUUCAUUAUCUCUUUCCGAGACCUUCGUCACCUUAAAGCUUGCGAACCCUCUUUGCAAAUCCCUUACUUUCAUUAGGUAUGCUGCCAUCCUCCCAUCCUUUUCUUCAUACUCUCCCAAUACCUGCCCUACUAUUAGCUAUGAGUCACUGCAUAUCUCCACUGAAGUCACUCCCAGCCUUGCUGCCAACCCAAGCCUGUGAUGACUGCCUCAUACUCGGCAUCAUUAUUAGUAGCAGGGAACUAGAAGCGCAACAAGUAUUCCAGUUCUUCAGAGUCUGGUCUGAUCAUUAUGAUUUUUGCUCAUGAUCCCUCUGCAUUCGAGGAACCAUCUACAAAGAUCUUCCAAUCUGCCUUCUGCCCUUCUGGGGGCUCUGUCAAAAUGGUGAGCUUGGCAAUAAAUUUUGCCAGGGCCUGUGCUUUGAUGGCCGUCAUGAGCCUAAAUUCAAUGUCAAACUCACUUAUUUUAAUCGUCCAUUUCUGUAGCCUCCCGGAGGUUUUCGGUCGAUAUAGGAUUUGCUUAAUGGGUUCGUAAGUCUUUACUUGUACCAUAUAGGAUUGAAAGUAAGGUCUAAGCUUCCUCGCUACAACAAUCAACACGAGCACCAGCUGUUUAGCCAGACUGUACCUUGUCUCUAUGCCUUUGAGGACCUAACUAAUGUAGUAGAUUAAUUUUUUGCCUUUAGGAGUUCUUUCACAAGAACUGCACUGACUGCCCGUGGCAACACCGAAAGGUAGAGACACAGUACGUCACUAGGGCAUGGGCUGGUCAGAAUAGGAGGCUGUUGUAGUGACUUCUUUAAGGAUUCUAGUGAUUCUUUGUACUCUUGAGUCCACUCGAAAUUGAUAGAGUCCCCUAUGGCUUUAAAGAAGUGGUAACACUUAUCUGCCGCCCAACUCAUAAAGCGAUUGAGAGCCGCAACGCGCCCUAAUAACGCUGAACCUCUUUCUUACUAGUGGGCCUCUUCAUUUCUAGUAUUGCCUGUAUCUUGUCAGGGUUUACCUCAAUUCCUCUUUGGGUGAUCAUGAAGCCUUGGAACUUCCCUCCGGCAGUACCGAAGACACACUUCUCCGGGUUGAACUUCAAGUUAUUGUGUCGGGCCACAUCAAAUACUUUCUGUAGACAAGCCACAUGAUCUAUAGCUUUGGCACUUUUUACUACCAUGUCGUCGACAUAGACUUCUAUGAAAUUUUCGAUCAGCUCCCAAAAGACUCUUUUCACCAUCAUUUGGUAGGUUGCUCCUGCAUUUUUGUGGCUGAACGGCAUGGCCGUGUAACAAUAUGUCCCACAAUCUGUGAUAAAUAAUAUCUUCUCCUGGUCGAGCUCAGCCAUAGAGAUUUGAUGGUACCCGAAAAAUGCAUCCAGGAAGCUAAGUCUUUCAUGACCUGACGUGACAUCGACUAGGUGGUCAAUCUAGGGGAGUGGAUAUCAGUCCUUUGGGUAUGCUUUGUUAAGCCCGAUGUAAUCUACACACAUGCGUUAUUUCCCGUUUGACUUUUUCACUAACACGAUGUUGGCCAACCACUCAGGGUACUGCACCUCCCAAAUAAAACCAGCUUACAGUAGCUUUUCCACCUCUGCCUUUGCCACUUACUACCUUUCAGGGGCGAGGUUCCUCUUUUUCUGUUAGACUGGUUUAGCUCCGGGGAGAACGCCAAGGCGAUGUUGAGCGAUGGCUAUGCUGAUCCCAGUAAUGUGGUUCGGGCUCCAUACAAAAACAUCUAGGUUAUUUGCCAGGCACCUUACCAACUUCAUUUUUCUUAAGAUUCUAAACCGGCGCCGAUGCUAAACUCUCGUCCUUCUGAUACGGAGAUCCUUUCAAUCAUGUCAAGUGGUUCGAUCCGCCCCUUCGGAGGUUCGACCUCCAACAUCAUAACCGAUGGUAUUCCCUUCACUGAUAUAUUGUCGACAUAGCAUUCCCUAGAUGCUUGCUGGUCUCCUCGUAAGCACCCAAUUUCCCUGAUGGUUGGGAAUUUCAUGACAUGGUGAUAGGUCGAGGGAAUGGCUCCAGCUGCAUUCAACAAUGGCCGACCGUAGAUCGCAUUAUAGGCCAUGAGAGUUUUUACAACUAAGAAACUUGCCACAAUUACCACAGCGGUUGGAUAUAUACCGAGCGUUACAGGGAGUUCCACGGUCCCUUCUGGAAUUACCGUGGCCCUUCCAAAGCCCUGUAGUGGGGUGGUUUCUAUUUUCAACUUGUUAGGGGAGAUCUUUAACCCCAAAAAACAUCCCAUGUAAGUAUAUUUGCAGCGCUUCCCCCAUCAACCAGCACUAUCUUGACGUCGAAAUCAGCUAUGUCGCCUACUAUCAUCGAGUCAUCGUCAUAGUGGUGUGCUACACCUACCAAAUCCUCCUCGUCAAAAGUAUUGUUCUGACUAAACCUCGCUUUCCUUUGGAUGGAACAGAUCCCAAGAGAUUGCGCGUAUCUUUUUCUUGUCAAGUUUGAAUCUCCACCUCCUGCUAUCCUUUCUGCAAUCACAUUUAUCACUCCCGCCCUCGACGAGAGGUAGUCCUCUACUUUUUUUUUACCCCGGUUGUCCUUCAUAUAUUUGCCCAAGAGCCCUCGUCUCAAGAGGCGCUCGAUCUCAUCCUUCAGCUACUGGCACUCUUUUGUAUCGUGCCCGUGAUCCUUGUGAAAAUGACAGUAUCUGCCUUAGUUUCUCUUACCGGGUGGCAUUGCCAUAGGCCUCGGCCAUUCAAGCUCCUUCAUAUCUCGUAUCUCCAUCAAUAGCUUCUUUCGUAGGGUGUUUAAAGGGGUGAACAUCCUGGGCUCCUCCGAUUUUUUCCUGACUUGUCGGUCUUGCUUUACCCGUCUACUCACUCCUCAGCUUAUUUUUGUUGGCAGAUCUCAGCUCGUCUCCUGCCUUUCGCUUGUGACUCUCCAUUUUCCAUCCCUCUCUGAGUUAUUUUGUGACCUUCUCCACUUUUUCGGCAUCAACAUACCUGUCUCCCUUUUUCAAUACGUCGUGCAUUGACUCUGGGGGGUUUCUUGAAAAGUGACAUCUUGAAGGCCCGAUUCCAAUUUUCGUUCAUCAACGCAGUCACCACUGUUGACAUUUGGAAAUCCUCUAUUCCAAGGGACGCUCGGCUGAAUCUGGCCAGAUACUCUUGUAGAGACUCGUCCUUCUCCUAGACCACCUGCAUCAGCCCGAUGGCCGUCUUCCUCUUUUUUUUACUACUGAGGAAGUAGGUCACAAAGUUCCUGUAAAGUUCAUCAAAUGUUCAGAUAGAUCGGGGGGUAAGUGUCGCCACCUAGUCUCUAGCUUCCAAACCAAUUUCUAGUUUCCAACUUAUUGGCAUGCCUAAGACCACGCAUUGCUACAUACCGAAAUUAUCGUACCAUGCCAAUUGUUCGGAAAAAUGCAUGUCAAAUAUUGCUAAUGGAAUAAUAAUAAGAAAGAAAAAUACGGAGUCCAAAAAUAUAAGAAAAAGGAGAACCCAAGAAUUUACGAGGUUUGGUAAAAUUUACUUGUGUUGUCAGGCACUACAAAGCCUGUCCUCUAACUUUAAAAGAGGAAUAUUACAAACUUUAGUGCAAUUGUGAAAUUACGUAAAACUAUAUGAUCUUCGAGAUAUCAUCUUCCUAAAUCGAUAUGAACUUAGAAAAGAAAACAAUAUUUAACAUUGAUUUUUAUUUUUUGAGAGCUCUACUACUCCUUUUCUUAGCUGUGACUAUGCAAAGAGUAAAUGGCUUGUUAUAAUUUACAGAGUUUCCAUAGGAGGCUCGGCUUUAUUCAACUUCAGACUAUCCCCUUUAAAAAAGUGUCUAAAUGCUGUGGGGUACGUCCAAGCUAAUAUUUUCCCACUUAAUCUUCACAAUGAUCGUAGCUAGUAGAGAAUGCCUUAGCAAGACUGAAUGUAGUUCAUAUAAUGAGAUUUGACAAAAUUUCAUAUUGGCUAUUCAAAUUACCACGACUCUCCCAAUUUUCUCAGGCCACGAAAAAAAAUUAAUAAGGUUAGAGAGAGAUGCUCUUAAAUUUUAGUGAAAGAAAGUCCCACUUGAGUGCCUUGAUUUCAUGAGUUUUUCUUUAUGUUGGGUUUGAUUUUUACUUCUUAGUGAAAAUCGAAUUUAACAUAUUUCAUUUCAGUUUGGUUUGCUCAUAUCCGAGUUUUUUGGUGGUAACAUUUUGGUCAUAAGUUAUAUUGUUCACGGUUCUUGUUCUUGGACAUUGUGCCGAUUUGGGUUCCUAGUUCCAGCUUUGGUCUACAACACUGAUUACUUUUGCUUUCUUUUCAUCCAGUUUGUCUUUCUCUUCGAUUUUCUUAGCUGGUUUGGUUUUCUUGGGUAGCAAACUGUUCUUUUCUCCUCGGUUCUGGUUUCUUUAUUGGCUACCGGGUCCUCCAGUUUCAGGCCAGUAUUCUGCUUGUGCUGGUUUUUUAUUCUGUUCUUCAGUUCGUUUCUUGGCUACCAUUUCUGCGGGGUGUUCUUGAUUCUUGGUUCUUCGUUGGAGUUUGUGUUUUCUUGUGUAUGUAUUGUGUAUUUAUUCCUGCUGGUCAGUUGAUUUUUGAAUUUCGUCUUUGGUUUCUGCAUUAGCCAGCGUGUUUUUUGGGGUUGGUGGCUGACUUCUGCAGUUUUGGUGUUACCUUAGUCGUGUCUUCUGACCUUUUUGACUUUUUGCAGUAUUUUGCUUCUUCUAUUCCUGGUUUUCUUUGACCUCUUACUGAUUAUUUGGUUCUGGGCCGGGUCAUUUAACUGACUUUAGACUAUCCUAUCUUCUCCUGGGCUUUUUUAUUUCACGACUGGGCCUUCUUGUUGGGACUAUUUGUGUUGGGUCUUUAUCAGUUCUCAGUUAAUUUUGGGUGGCUCUUAUUUUAUCUUCGUUCUCUGCUGCCUGUUUCCUUCCCAGCAGGCCAUGGUUUUUGCUUUUUCAUUGGUAAGAAAAAAUAUGUUGCAAGCCUUCACUCUGGGUUGACACCUCUUAAGCCCCAGACUGUCCAGCAAGGUGAUGGUUCCGGGGGUAUUGCUGCCCCUUCGAAGUCCAAUAUUGCGGAGAGUAAUAAGGUGAGUUUGCCUUCACAAAGUGUAUCAUUGACACUUGGAGAAAAUGAUAGGGAAUCUGAAAAUUCUGACUUUGAAUUGAAUUUGGUGGAUUUGAAGCAACAAAAUAAUGCUAAUGUUACUAGAAAUGAGGUUGUAAAAGAUACUAAAACUCCAUAGGUUGAUCUCUUUAAAGACGAUAGGAAAAUGGAGGAAAUUUUAAGUUGAAGCCUUUUGAAAAUCAUUUGGAGGAAGUUGUUUUGGGAGAAUUGGAUGAAGAUAAUAUCGAGAAUACUUGGGGGUAUGGUCUCUUGGAUACUUUGCUAGUUGGUUUUUGGGAAAAGUGGCUUUACUCCAAUUGUGUGAUUCUUGGAAGGUCGAGUAUAAAUUAUUUUGUGCACUCAAGCGGGUGGUUGGUUUUCAAAUUUGAGACGGAUGUGGAUAGACUAAGUGUGUUGCAUGGUGGUCCGUACUUGGUUUAUGGAAGACCAUUAAUGUUAAAAGUCAUGCCCCGUUAUUUUGAUUUUGAUGACAAAAAUGUUAGCACUAUGUCGGUUUGGGUCAACUUGCCGGGAUUGCCUUUAGAGUUUUGGAAUACGAAUGCUUUGGGUAAAAUUGUCUCCAAAGUUGGCAAACCCAUUUCGAUCGAUAAGGUCACGAAAAGUAGAGUAGACUUUCCUAUGCAAGAGCACUAGUUGAAGUUGAUGCUUCUAUCGUGCUUGUAUGGGUGGUAAAGAUUAGACUUCCAAAUGGCAUCUUGAGAGAGCAAGAAAUUAUUUUUGAGCACGAACCUAAAUUUUGUGGUUCUUGCAAAAUCUUUGGGCAUUCAUCUAUUGGUUGCAAUUUUAAGAAAAAAUCUAUGGGUGACAAUAGCAAGCCCAUAAGUAGGGAGACAUCUAAACCCACUUCACAGGCUGCUCGGGUGAAAAUUGGUCAAGCUGGGAAUUAAAAAAAGGCAGCAACAAAUCAACAGGAAAAGGAUUUCGAUGGGCAGGAUAGGCAGCCUCUAAACUAAAUUUGAACUCAGGCUCAACCUGGGGCUAUUGACGGGUAGAUUAGCCAGGCUGAGGACCAGUCGGACGCCCCCUUUGUUGAGUUAAUUCACAGAAGAAAUGGGGCUACCCGUAAAAGGAAUUCAAUUUCUAUUGAAUCCACCCAACAGCCGACUAGCACAUGCUUUCAUACGGACUAUGUGGUGGCAGAUCCUAUGUUCAAAAUCACAGGGACAACUUCAAAAAAUAUAAGCAAUGAAAAGCUUAAAGGUAAAGUUGAUGAGGUAAGGAAUGUGGUGAAAACCCCAAAAAGAAGAAAGGUACCUCCCUUGCGUCAACAUCAUGAAGAUCGGCGCAUGGAAUAUUAGGGGCUUUAACCUACCCCUAAAACAAAAUGGGGUUAAAGGUUUCAUGAAACAACAUGAGAUUGAUGUUAUGGGUAUUUUGGAAACAAAAUUGAAAGAUUCAAAACUUUGUGGAAUUAUGAGGAAUAAAUUUGGUGGUUUCAACUUUGCAAACAACUUUCAACAUCAUAAACUAGGCCGUAUUUUGGUUUUGUGGAGUUCUAUGAAGGCUGAAUUGGAAGUUUUGGAGACUACCGCACAAGUCCUCCAUUGCUCAAUCAUGUGCAAAGUAACUUCACGUUCCUUCGUUGUUAGUUUUGUCUAUGCAUUCCAUACUAUUGUGACUCGCAAGCCUUUGUGGAAUAACAUUGAGGAAUUCGGUCUUAAUUGCUCCUUACCAUGGUUGGUCUUAGGGGAUUUCAAUAAUGUGCUAAAUUUUGAUGAGAAUAGUAAUGGUGCCGAUGUCACGCCGUAUGAGAUUAAGAUUUGGAUAUAUAUUGCCAUAUUGUUGGACUUUUGGAUUUGCAGUCGAUUGGAUGCUUCUAUACUUGGAACAAUAAUUCCGUUUGGAGCAAACUUGAUAGAGCCAUGAUAAAUGAAACUUGGAUGCUUGAGAGUUAUGACAGUUUUGCAAACUUUCUUCCAUUGGGGUGCCUCUCCAAUCACUCACCUUGUAUUGUUUCAAUUUUCGGGGAAGUUGAUAGGAAGAAAAGGCCCUUCAAAUCUUUCAACAUGUGGACAUGCCAUGAGGAUUUUCAUGAAGUGGUAUCAAAUGGUUGGAAUAAAGUCUUUUUGGGAUCUAAACAAUUCUCUCUUUGUAAGAAAUUACAAAGUCUUAAAGGGAUGCUUAAGAAGCUCAACAACAAGCAUUUUGCUCACAUUUCCUCUCCAGCCGACCUUGCUUCAAAAAAGUUGGAAUUGUCACAAGUUGAAUUGCAUAAUGAUCAACAAAAUCUUCAAUUAAAGUGUGAAGUUUUUAGAUUGAGAAAGGAGGCUACCACGCUAUGUGAAGCGGAAAGGAGUUUCUAUUAUCAAAAAGCAAAGUGCAUGCAUUUGAAGAAUAGUGAUAAAUGCACCAAGUAUUUCCACUCUUUGGUCAAGAGAAAUGCUAAAAGGAACUUCAUUCCAGCUAUUAUCAAGAGGGAUGGUAAUUACUCUACCUCCCAAGAAGAGGUGGCAACGGAAUUCACUCAUUUUUAUAGUGAAUUGUUGGGAAAAAAACUGUUGGACGACAAUUUAAUGAUGAAAUUCUAAGAGGUGGAUCUAUGUUGUCGGAGGAAAAUGCUAUGUUACUCGUCAGGGACAUCACGAGACAAGAGAUCAAAGAUGCUCUUUUUAGUAUUAGGGACGACAAAUCACCGGGUUCGGAUGAAUUCACAUCUUGUUUUUUCAAAAAAUCAUGGGAUAUUGUUGGCAAUGAUUUCAUGGAGGCAAUUGAAGAAUUUUUUGCAUCGAGGUCUCUACUCAAGCAAAUCAAUCACACCAUCAUUGCUUUAGUACCAAAGGGUAAUCACUCUACAUCGGUUGGGGACUAUAGGCCCACUGAUUGUUGUAAUGUCUUUUAUAAAGUCAUUACAAAGAUCAUUGCUUCUCGUUUAAAGCCUAUGCUUGUUGACCAAGCACAAACCGCUGUUGUGGAAGGACGGAGCAUGAUUGAAAAUAUUCACUUGGCACAAGAGCUUUUGAGGCAAUACAAUCGCAAGAGGUGGCUCCUAGAUGUCUUCUUAAAAUUGACCUAAGGAAGGCCUAUGACUCGGUGAAUUGGGAUUUUCUUGCUAAAGUCCUUGAAGAAUUGGGUUUCCCCAACAUGUUUGUUGAUUGGAUUAUGGAGUAUGUGACAAUCCAUCUUAUUCCAAUGCUCUUAAUGGAGUCUUUCAUGGUUUUCUCAAAGGAAAUAAAGGUCUACACCAAGGUGACCCGUUAUCUCCUUACUUGUUUAUCUUAUGCCUUGAAUAUUUCUUUAGAAUGGUAAAGGAGGGUACAAAGGAUAGCGAUUUCAAUUUUCAUCCUAAAUGUGCACACUUUAAGAUUACACACUUAGCUUUUGCGGAUGAUUUGAUGCUUUUUGCUAGAGGGGAUGUAAUGUCGGUGGAUAUCUUAAUGAAAUGUCUUUCAAAUUUUGGUGCCAUGUCGGGUCUCAAUAUAAAUGUUGGGAAAUCUUGUAUUUACACCGUGGGGAUGCAUGGUCAAGACUUGGAGGAUAUCCUUGCUCUUUCUCAUCUCCCAAUUGGUACCAUGCCAUUUCGUUACUUGGGCAUCCCUCUUGCGGUGAAAAAAUUGAAAGUUAGUUCAUACGAUUCUUUCACCAAUAAAAUUUCUUCCUAUAUUGGUACAUGGUCGACUUCUUCAUUAUCAUAUGCGGGUAGAGCGGAAUUUGUGCCAAUCAUUCUACAAGGAGUGGAAUGUUUUUGGUUAUCAAUUUUUCCCAUUCUGGCAACGAUAAUUUCUAAGAUCAUCAGUCUUUGUCGAAGGUUCUUAUGGGGGUCUAAAAAAUCAUUGGUAGCUUGGAAUCAAAUUUGCCUUCCAAAGCAUGAGGGCGGGCUCGGUUUUAGAGAUAUGAAAAGUUGGAAUGCUGCUCUCCUUUCCAAAACACUUUAGAACAUUCACAGCAAAAAGGAUACUCUAUGGAUUAAAUGGGUAAAUGAAGUACACCUUCGAGGUUUGGAUAUUUGGAAAUAUAGAGUGAAGAAAGAUGAUUCUCCACUUCUUAAAAAGCUGCUGGAAAUAAGAGACAGCAUUGUUGAAUCACAUAGCGACGAACAAGCUGGACUUAACAGAUUAUGUAGCUGGACAGAUUCUGGGAUUUUCAGCACCAAAGCUGCCUACGAUUUCUUAGGAUCGAAAGGAGUUAAAACCGGCUGGCCACCUCUGUUUGGGAAUGUUCUAUCACUCCUAAACAUUCAUUCAUCCUUUGGUUAGCUGUUCUGGGAAAAUUGGAAACUAAAGACAGGUUGACGCAUCUUGACUUGACUUGGACCGAAUCUGUCCAGGAGUCUUUUAUGAAAUUGCCCAACACCUCUUCUUUUCAUGCCCUUUUUGUAGAGAUGUUUGGGAUCAUAUCCGACAUUGGUUGGCUAUUCGACGUACCACGUCUACCUUGUUGAGUUCUUUAAAAUGGAUGAAAAAGGAAGCCCGUGGUAAGACUUGGCCAAGUAGAGCAAAACAUGUUGCACUUGCAACAACUGUGUACCACAUUUGGAUGGCAAGGUACAGAUGUAUUUUUGAAGGUAUUAAGCCACAUCUUGAAUCUAUUGUAAGACAAAUUAAAACACACGUAUACAAAGUUAUGUUCACCUCGUAUCCGUAUGUUUUGAUCCAAUUUGAAUCUUUUGUAGUCGAUUUUUAGACCGAUGUUGGUUCAUCUGUUUUUAUUUGAUACUCCCGGUAUGUCCGGUGUACAUAUAUUGGUUACUUACCUUCUGAUUUUUCGGGUAUGCCCGGUGUACUUGUAAAUUAAUUUUGAUCUAUGGAAUUUCACAUUUACCGAUUAAAAAAAAAAGUUCAAGUUAAUUGAAAAAUCUGAUCUAAUCCUCAUAAUACAAGUUUAUAUUUGUACUCCCCGAAGAGACAAGGACACAAUUCGAUUUUAUCGAUUAUAUUAAACCUCAUAAACUCUUUGUCGGCUGUCGUUCAAUCCAACUUCUUCUACCCCCUACAAUUUCAACAAGAAACCAAAUCUAUUCUUCUUAAGGUAGAAAAGCCAAUAGUUGAUUCAUUAAUUACAUGACUAAGCAAGCAAUGUUUGCCAUUGAUUAUGCAAAUGAACUUGGUUUUGCAUACUGCUGUCUUUAUUUUCUUUUGGCUACAACUUCCACUAUUGCUUGUUGACAAUAGUAACACCGCCACUGCGAAACCUGGCUACCAAAGCACGUGUGGGAAUCUAACUAUUCCAUACCCUUUUGGUAUUGGCGUAAAUGUUAGUUGUUCCCUCAAUCCGUCGUUCAAUAUCAACUGUGAUACAAUUUCAGACCCUCCCAAGGCCUUUCUUGGCACAACUGAUCUCGAGGUCACAGCUAUUUUUGACAACAAAAUAUGGGUCAAGAAUUCCUUAGCAUCAGUAUGCUAUGAUAAAGAUGGAAAUGCACCUACCGAUAACUUGGUGUCUAUCAGUUUAAUGAACACUUCUUUUAGCCUGUCGACUGAAAACCAGCUCAUAGUCAUUGGAUGUGAUUCUAUUCGUUGUUAGAAGAUAUGGAAGAUUAAAUAAGUGCUUGCGUCGAUAUAUGUUCAAAAAUCCAGGAUUUGAGUGAAGGAUUUUGCUCUGGAAUUGGCUGUUGCCAGGCCUCCAUAACAAAGGGUUUACAUUACUGAAAACCAGCUCACAGUCAUUGGAUGUGAUGACUAUUCGUUGCUAGAAGAUAUGGAAGAUUCCAUAAGUGCUUGCGUUGGUAUAUGUUCGAAAAUCCAGGGUUUGAGUGAAGGAGUUUGCUCUAGAAUUGGCUGUUGCCAGGCCUCCAUAACAAAGGGUUUACAGUAUUUCCAUAUUUCCCUGACAAGCUUGAAUGGUCAUCAUAAUGUCUGGUCAUUUAAUCCCUAUGGCUAUGCAGUUCUUGGACAGCUGGAUAGGAACACAUUUCGUAUAUCUCAUCUCAAUAACAUGUCGAUCUCAUUAGAUAACGUGCCCUUGGUGAUUGAAUGGGAAAUUGGGGACAAAAAUUGAACUGAAGCUCAGAAUUCGAUUGGCAUUAACUUAUGUUAUGGAGAAAGCAUUUGUGUUGAUUCUGGUACUGGAAUAGGGGGAUACAACUGCAAAUGCUCUACAGGAUCUGCGGGCAAUCCUUAUCUCAGUCCGGGCUACGUAGGUUAGUUAAUAAGGAUUUUUCCCUAUUCAAUAAAAAUAUGUACACCAUCAGUUUUUGGCCUGGCUAUUAUCGAGCUAAUUUGAUGAAACUUCCUCUGCUAGAUGUUGAUGAAUGCAAGGAUCAUCCACAUGAUGAAUUUGCAACCUGCGAUAACCUUCUAGGUAAUUACAGUUGUGAAUGUCGGAAAGGAUAUCUCGGUGAUGGCAGAAAAGAUGGUAUUGGUUGCUUUCUCAUGCAACCUUCAACAUACUCCUAUAGUUAAUGCAGGUAAUGAAUCUCUCAUGCAAUGAGUGAUGUAGAAUUUAGAAAGUAUCAUUUUUGACAUAGGUGGAAAAGACAGUGUAAACUUCUGGUGCAUGUUUAGGUUGUGGUUUAUAGCUAAUGAAUUCUUAAUAAAACUAUCUAAAUCUGCCUUUGCAACCAGAGAUCAUCUGAUACAUUGGCUAUGAUGGUACAAUUAACUAUCUUAAGAUCGAUGCUAUGGAUUUUUCAUACAGGUUUAUGCAUAGCCUUGGUAUUAUUGUUCCUAUUGGGGGUUACCUUCGUGUUGUACAAAGUACUGAAGAAGAGGAAAAGAAAUAAGCGCAAACAGAAAUUUUUCCAGCAAAAUGGAGGUCUUUUGUUACAACAACAGAUAUCAUCUAAUGAAGAUGUCCUUGAGAGAAUGAAACUUUUCCGGUCCAAGGAGUUGGAGAAGGCAACUGAUCGCUUCAAUGAAAGCGAAUGAUAGGUAAAGGAGGCCGAGGUACGGUCUAUAAAGGCAUGCUAUCAGAUGGAAGAAUAGUCACAGUGAAGAAAUCCCAAUCAGUCAAUGUAAAUCAACUAGAGGAAUUUAUAAACGAGGUUGUCAUACUUUCACAAAUAAAUCACAGAAAUAUUGUGAAGCUACUAGGAUGUUGUUUAGAGUCUGAAGUUCCAUUGCUAGUUUAUGAAUUCAUUUCCAAUGGAACCCUCUUUGACCUCAUACAUGACGAAAGUCCCAAUUUUCCAUUUUCAUGGGAUGUGCGCUUGAGAAUCGCUGCCGAAGUAGCAAAUGCCCUUGCCUAUUUGCACUAUGCAUCUUCCAUUCCCAUUUAUCACCGAGACAUCAAGUCGAAUAAUAUGCUUUUAGAUGAAAAAUAUAGCGCUAAAGUGUCUGAUUUUGGAAUUUCGAAGUCUAUUGCAUUAGAUCAAACGCACUUAACCACCAAGGUCAAAGGGACAUUUGGGUAUCUAGAUCCAGAGUAUUUUCAAUCAAACCAAUUCACAGAAAAGAGUGAUGUUUAUAGCUUUGGCGUCGUUAUGGUGGAGCUUUUGACAGGACAAAAGCCAAUAUCUUCAAGUCCAUCAGAAGAGGAACUAAGUUUAGUAACACUUUCUCUUUUAUCCAUGAAAGGAAAAUAGCUUAACACAAUUCUUGAUCCUCGAAUGCAAGAAAAUGGUGCGAAGAAAGAGAUCUUUAUAUAUAUAUAUAUAUAGCUUUUAAAAGUUUAUGGUGAAUUAUUUUAAAACAUCAGUAGAAAAGUAAUUCAAUUACAAAAUUGUCAUUUGAAAUGAGUUAUUUACGUUUAAAAUUUUCCAGUUUACUAUAAUUAAAAAGAAAAAAUCAUUCUUCGCCAUUUAGUCCACCACAACCUCCUUCAUACCAACCCCAUGAAACUACUUGUCAAAUUGAAAAUAAAUAAAAGUAGAAUAUGAAAUUGCUUGUCAUUCAUUUAAUCUAAUAAUAGAAAAAAUCUAUUAAAAAAAAGAACGAACUCCAAAAGCUAAAGAUCAACUCAUAUAUGUGAAAAAAUGAAAAAUUAUUAAACACAGCAUAAACACUAAAAUGUGGAUCAAAAAUAUAUUAAGAAUGCAUAUAAUAUUUAUAACGUGAUUAUGUUUAGUACUCCUCAAUAAUCUUUAUUUUUUAUGAUCAAUUAUUUUGAAAACAACGAGAAAUUUGAAUUGUUAUGAAAUAUUUAACUAGAAAUAUAUUUUUCUUAUCGGGUUGCAUUAAUAUGAAUUUGUAAAGUAUUUAUAAAAUUAAUUAAAUUUGAAUUUUGAUUACCCACUAUUUUUUUCAGCAAAUGAAAGAAGAAGCGCAUGUAAAAUGAUGUGAGAUAAUUUUAUGGUUUACUUCAAAGAUUUAGUGCAUCUUGGUACGAUGCACCUUCAAAAAGAGAUAUUCGGGAUAAUCUAAUUCACUAUUGAUUCUCAAGAUAAUAUAGAGAAUCAAAAUCAAAACGGUAGAUUCUUGAUCCUUGAUCCCAAAAUCAACCUGUUUAGUAGAGGAAUCGAAGCUGAGCCAAUCGGUUCUAUCAGACUUUGGUCUAACUCCAAUAGUUCCGAGAAAAAACCCGCCAUCUUCUCUCCUUCCUUCGAGUUAGUAACUCAAAAAACUAAAGGAAAAAACUCAAGUGCCUGAAUAAUAGGAAAAAUAAAGAAGAAAGAGAGCAAGGGGAGCCGUAGAAUAGUGAAAUCGAUAUACUAAAUUUUGACUAAAAAAUGAUAUUUGCACUAAAGUUUUAGGGGGAAAAAUAUAUACUAAAUUUUGAUAAAAAAUUGAUAUUUGCUCUAAAGUUUUAGAAAAAAAAAUGAGAUAUACAAUUUUAGAUGUCUCCCACCAAUUUCGUCCUUUCCAUGUAAUCUUCAAAAAUAAUAAAUAAAUAGUAAAAUAUUUCGAAUGUUGUAAAUGGAAAGUCCAUUAAAGUUUAUUGGUGAAUGACAUUUGUACCCCUGUAACCCUAGAAAUUAUUACUAUUGUAUCCCUGAUUCUUACCUAUAAAUAUAGGGUUUUGGUUUUCAAUAAUACACACAAAAGGUUUAUUGAGUUUUCUCUAUUCUCUUUUCCUCUCAUUUUAUAACACGUUAUCAGCACGAAUCUCUUAGAAGGUAGUAAUUUUUUUUCAUAAUCAUCUAUCACGUAUAUCAAAAUUAAUUUGAUAAUACGUGAAUUUUACAUAUACAUAUGUUGAAUCUACAAUACGUGAUCUCAUCUUUCUCGAUCAUUGUGUUUUCUUUGUACCUCUCUUUCAAUUAAUUAAUAUUUUUUUCCUUUACAUCAAUCCACGUGCAUUUUUAUGGAGAUAUAUUUAUGUUAAAUCAAUUGAUAUGCAUUAAUUCAUGUUCAUAUACCCUCCUUAUAUUUAGAUUAACCCUUUACGUCCUACACAUGCUUAUAAUUUUUUUUAAUUUUUUUUUUUGUUUAAUUGGUCAAUGUUUUUUGUAAGCAAGCUUCAAUUCCAUAUCUCUAUUUUGGCUGAUUCCAUAUAUAUAUAUAUAGGGCUUGUUUGAGCCACAUUAUUUCAAAAAAAUGCAUUCUUAAAUAGUGAUUUGACAUCAUUUCAACUACACAUUCUUCAAUAAAAAAAUAUUACACGCAAAUCAAAAACUUUUCCUUAUUUUUUAAUCACACAUUUCCCAUCAAUACACUAUUCAAGAAUGCAUUAUUACCAAAAUAAUGUGGGUCAAACACUCCCAUAAUAUACAAUUAACAAAUAACUGUACCCAAUUCAUCUUUUCUCUCAAAUCCAUUGGUUUCUGCAAAUUUCAUGCCUUAAUUGGUUAAUACUAAGUCAAUUCUUUUAAUUGCACAUAAUUAGAAUUUCGUGCCAUAAUAUGUGAAUAGGUUUCUACAUGUCACCAAUUUUUUUUUUUUGUGUUUCACUCGACUCACGUUAUUAAUUCAAAAUACUAUUUUACAUGUGUUUGUAUAUUAAUUAAUGGUGAGCAAUUGGAUGUAUUAUCAUUUUUUUUAUGUUUAGUUAUGAAACAUUACAUUAAAUUUAUUUUUAAUUGUUGUUACUCCUGAAGUAGCACAACAUUAUAAUUAAUAUUCCAGAAGAAUAUUAGUCAUAGAUCUAUUCGUUGUUGCUCCAGAAGUAGCACAACAUUAUAAGAAUAUUAUUUGCUCCUGAAGAGCAUAAAUUAUAACUCUCAAUAUUCCAGAAGAAUAUUGACAUAUUGCACUUGAAGAAAUAAUAGCAAAAUAUAAUGUGCUCCAGAAGUAGCAUAUGUUUCGAACAUAUUAUUUCAAAUUAGUGUUUAUCUCUAGAGGAAAACACGUAACUUAAAGUCAUGUUGAUAUUGACUAUUUGAUUAACAUGUGAUGAUUAAUCAUAUUCUUCGAAACUAAUUGUAUUUUAUUGUGUAGUUAAACAAAUGACAAACAUUACGAAACUUGAGUUUGCUGCACUUGACAUAUCUGGUAAAAAUUAUCUUUCAUGGAUACUGGAUGCUGAUAUCCAUCUCGUCUCAAAGGGUCUGGGAGAGACAAUAAAAGAAGGAAACAAUGAAUCCCUGCAGGAUCGUGCAAAAGCACUCAUUUUCCUCCGUCACCAUCUUCGCGAUGGAUUAAAAAUUGAAUAUCUCACUAAGAAAGAUCACAAGUUCUUUGGAAAAAGUUAACUGAAAGAUUUGAUCAUCAGAGGACUAUAGUCCUCCCCAAAGCCCGUUAUGAGUGGAUGUACCUUCGUUUGCAAGACUUCAAAAUGGUUAGUGAGUACAAUUCUGAAUUGUUCAGAAUAUGUUCAAAGUUGACUUUGUGUGGAGAAAAAAUCACUGAUAAAGAUAUGCUGAAAAAACUUUUUCCACCUUUCAUACCUCGAAUGUGCUCUGCAGCAGCAAUAUCGUGAGCGUGGCUUCAAAAAAUACUCAGAACUUAUAUCUUGCCUGCUAGUUGCUGAACAAAAUAACGAAUUGUUGAUGAAAAAUCAUGGAUUACAUCCAACUGGUUCUGUACCAUUGCCUGAAGCAAAUGGUACUACAUUGUCUGAAACAAAUACAAUAUCAAAACAAGGACGUGGACGCGGACGUGGACAUGGACACCGGCAUGGACGUGUACGUGGAAUAAAUCAUGGAAGAAAUAAUCAACAAAGUUAUCAACAACAAGGCAAUAAAUUCAAAAGGCACAAAACAAACGAGAGUGGCAAAUCUAAAAAGGAACAUGGAGAAAGUUGCUUCAGAUGUGGAAUGAAAGGGCAUUGGGCACGUACGUGCCGUACCUCAAAACAUCUUGUGGAUCUCUACCAGAGAUCAAUCAAGGGAAAAGAAAAAUUGGAGACUAAUUUUGCUGAUUAUGAUGGUCCAAUUGAUGUGACUCAUUUGGAUGUCUUCGAUUUCUUUACUGAUCCAAAUGGAAAUAUUUACCAUUUGGUUGGGGGUGGUGUGAUAGAAGAUAUAGAUUAAUUUACUAGUAUUUCUUUCGUUUUAAAAAUUCAGACUGAAAUAUGUUUUUACUUUACCACACAAAAAAAAAAAAAAACUCUAUUAUGCACCGUUUAUUUCAUGAUAUUAAGUAAUGUUUACUUCUUUAAAUCUAAAUUCAAGUUUUUUUUUUAAAUUUUGUUUAUUUUGUUAUAUUUAUAGAUUCGUGAUGGAUAGUCAAGACAGCUGCUUAAUUGAUAGUGCAACUACACAUACUAUUCUUCACGACAAAAAAUACUUUUUGGACUUAAUAUUAACUGAAAAUAAUGUUAACACGAUAUCGGGUGUGUCGAAUAUCGUUGAAGGCUCCGGAAGAGCUUGUAUUAUUUUACCAAAUAAUAUAAAAUUAUAUAUUAACGAUGCACUUUAUUCUAGCAAAUCCAGAAGAAAUUUGCUUAGUUGUAAAGAUAUUCGCUACAAUGAAUAUCACAUUGAGAGGAUGAAAGAAAAUAAUGUUAAAUAUCUUUGCAUCACUUUUUUUUGUAUCUGGCAAGAAGCAGAUAAAAAAAAAUUCCAUGCACUCCCGUCUGACAUGUAUUUUACAUUUAUAAAAAUGGUUGAAUCAAAUAAUGUUACGAGCCAGAAGUUCGUUGAUUCAAAAAGUUUUAUACUUUGGCAUGAUCGACUUGGAUAUCCAGGAGCCAUAAUGAUGCGUCGAAUAAUAAACAACUAACAGGACAUCCUUUAAAGAACCAGAAGAUUCUUUUAUCUAAUGAUUAUCCAUGUGUAGCUUGUUCGCAAGGCAAGUUAGUCUUAGACCUUCAACUACAAAGGUCAAUAUUGAAUCUCCAACUUUCUUGAAAAGAAUACAUGGAGAUAUAUGUGGGCCAAUACACCCACCAUGUGGACCAUUUCGUUACUUUAUGGUAUUAAUUGAUUAUUCUACAAGAUGGUCACAUGUUUGCCUACUUUCAACUAGGAAUGUAGCAUUUGCUAGACUACUUGCUCAAAUCAUAAAAUUGCGAGCACAAUUCCCCGAUUACUCAAUCAAGACUAUUCGUCUUGACAAUGUUGGUGAAUUUAGAUCACAAGAAUUUGAUGAUUAUUGUAUGUCAAUUUGGAAUGAAAUUGAACAUUCAGUUGCACAUGUUCAUACACAAAAUGGUUUAGCGGAAUCGUUUAUUAAACGUCUACAACUUAUUGCUAAACCAUUACUUAUGAAAAAAAAACUCCCAACUUCUGUUUGGGGUCAUGCCAUAUUACAUGCUGCAUCAUUGGUUCGUAUAAGAUCAAUUGCCUAUCAUCAAUAUUCACCUUUGCAACUUGCAUUUGGUCAUGAACCUGAUAUUUCUCACCUACGGGUUUUUGGUUGUGCUGUCCAAGUUCCUAUUUCACCCCCACAACGUACUAAAAUGGGUCCCCAACGAAAACUUGGGAUUUAUGUGGGUUUUGAUUCACCAUCUAUUAUUAGAUAUCUUGAACCUUUAACGGGUGACUUAUUUACUGCACGUUUUGUAGAUUGUCAUUUUGAUGAAAUGACUUUUCCAACUUUGAGAGGAGAAAAACUACAUCCUGAAAAACAAGAUAGAAUUUCUUGGAAUGAGACAACUCUAUCUCACUUUGAUCCCCACAGCAAUCAAUGUGAACAAAAGGUUGAAAAAAUCAUUGAUUUGCAAAGAGUUGUAAUUCAACUACCUGAUGUAUUUGUUGACACGAGAAAAGUGACAAAGUCAUAUAUUCCAACAGAAAAUAUUCCAGCAAAAAUUAAUGUCCCUGCAGGACAAUCUGCUGUGGCAAAUGAAUCUCAAAUACGCCAGAAGCAUGGUCGACCAGUUGGUUCAAAAGACUCUGUACCUCGAAAAAGAAGAGUACAGGAGAAAAACCAACCAAAAACUUCAGAAGAAAUCACAUUAGAAAAGAUUGAUCAAUCAAAUAUUGAAUGUACGGUUCCUGAAGAACCAGAGGUGUCCGAAAAUAAUGAGAUCUCAAUAAAUUAUAUGAUAUCUCAUAAAUUAUGGGAACGGAAUAAUAUUGUUAUAGAUAAUAUUUUCACCUUUAACAUGGCUCUUGAUAUUAUGCAAAAUGAGGAUCCUAAACCACAGUUUGUUAAUGACUGUCGAAAUAGAAAUGAUUGGCCAAAAUGGAAAGAAGUCAUACAGGCAGAAUUGAAUUCUUUGGAGAAACGAAAAGUGUUUGGACUAGUAGUUCGAACACCUGAAAAUGUAAUCCCUGUUGGAUACAAAUGGGUUUUUGUACGAAAGAGAAAUGAGAAUAAUGAAAUUACAAGAUACAAAGCCCGACUAGUGGCUCAAGGUUUCUCCCAAAGACCGGGAAUUGAUUAUGAGGAAACAUAUUCUCCCGUAAUGAAUACCAUCACUUUUAUGUUCUUAAUUAGUUUGACCAUGUCACAAGGGCUCGAUAUGUGCCUUAUGGAUGUAGUAACUGCCUUCCCAUACUGUUCACUUGACAGUGACAUAUGUAUGAAAGUCCCUGAAGGAUUUAAGGUGCCAGGAAUAAAUGAUACAUGUUCGAGAACUAUGUUCUCAAUUAAAUUGCAAAAAUCAUUAUAUGGAUUGAAACAAUCCAGACGCAUGUGGUAUAAUCGCCUUAGCGAAUAUUUGUUGAAAGAGGGUUAUAAAAAUGACGAUAUAUGCCCAUGUGUUUUCAUAAAGAAAAUAAUUAUUGGAUUUGCAAUUGUGACAGUUUGUGUUGAUGAUUUAAAUUUAAUUGGAACUUCUGAAGAGUUCAACAAAACUGCAGAUUAUUUGAUAAAUGAAUUUGAGAUGAAAGAUUUGGGGAAAACCAAAUUUUAUCUUGGAUUACAAAUUGAACAUUUUCUAGAGAGAUUAUUUGUUCAUCAAUCUACUUAUACAGAAAAGUCUUGAAACGCUUUUAUAUGGAUAAUGCACAUCCAUUGCAAUCACCUAUAGUUGUUCGAUCACUUGAUUUGAAAAAAGAUCCAUUUCGUCCACUUGAAGAUGGAGAAAAGAUUCUUGGUCCUGAAGUACCAUACCUUAGUGCAAUUGGAGCAUUAACUUAUCUUGCAAAUUGCACUCGACCUGACAUAGCUUUUUCUAUUAAUCUCCUUGCAAGAUAUAGCUCUACACUAACUCAAAGGCAUUGGAAUGGUGUUAAACAUAUUUUUCGUUACCUAAAAGGUACUAUUGAUAUGGGACUGUUUUAUUCUCAAAAGUCAGGAUCUGCUUUAGUUGGAUAUGCAGAUGCAGGUUAUCUCUCCGAUCCACAUAAAGCUAAAUCACAAACAGGAUAUGUGUUAACACGUGGAGGAACAGCUAUAUCAUGGAGAUUUGUGAAACAAUCCUUGACAGCAACAUCCUCAAAUCAUUCUGAGAUUAUUGCAAUCCAUGAAGCAGGACAAGAAUGUGUAUGGUUGAGAAAUAUGACCCAUCAUAUCCAAUCAUCAUGUGGAUUGACUUCAACAAAAGAUAAUCCAACAAUUUUGUUUGAAGAUAAUGCAGCUUGUAUCACACAACUCAAAGUAGGCUAUAUCAAAGGCGACAGGACGAAGCAUAUUUCUCCAAAAUUAUUUCAUACACAUGAACUUCAGAAGAAUGGUGACAUUGAUAUUCAACAAAUUCGCUCAAGUGACAAUCUUUCAUACACAUGAACUUCAGAAGAAUGGUGACAUUGAUAUUCAGCAAAUUCGCUCAAGUGACAAUGUGGCUGAUCUAUUCACAAAAGCGCUGCCAACAUCUACAUUCAAGAAAUUAGUUCAUGAGAUUGGAAUGCGUCGACUCAAAAAUUUUCAGUGAUUAACAUCAGGGGGAGUAGUUGUACUCUUUUUCCUUCGCUUAGGUUUUGUCCCAUUAGGUUUUCCUAGCGAGGUUUUAAUGAGGCAGCAUUUAAUUUUAAUACUCCAAAAUAACUGUACUCUUUUUCCUUCGUUUGAUUUUUUUUCCUCAUUGGGUUUUUAUCAAACAAGGUUUUAACGAGGCAGAUAUUUUGUAAUAUGUCAUUCAAGGGGAGUGUUGUAAAUGGAAAGUCCAUUAAAGUUUAUUGGUGAAUGACAUUUGUACUCCUGUAGCCCUAGAAAUUAUUAUCAUUGUAUUCCUGAUUCUUACCUAUAAAUAUAGAGCUUUGAUUUUCAAUAAUACACACAAAAGGUUUAUUGAGUUUUCUCGAUUCUCUUUUCCUCUCAUUUUAUAACAUCGAAUAUAACUUUGGAUUUAUUUCAAGAAACAAUUGCAUUUUUGAGUUAUGAGUAUAAGAAAACUACUAAAAAAAUUUUAGGAAAUUUUCUUUUCUAUUUCUCGCCAAAUUGUUUAGGAUAGAAAUAAGUGAAUCUAUUAAUUUUCAAUAGCCACAUAUAGGAUCCGAAAUUAAUGGCAAAAAUCAAUUAAUUGGGAGUGGCCUUUUAGCAAAAUCUAUGCAAUUAACAAUGGCUUACCUGUCUGAAUUAGUACAGUAUUAAUUUUAACCUUUUUCACACUUCGAGGAAAGAAAGCCAGCAGCCACGCCAGUUCAACUUACUAAUCGAGCCUGUCCACAUGACAAAGGGAACAGACAGAGUUGUUCACCUUAAAACUCAAAGAAAAAGGGAGUGAAUCUCUGAAAUGAUGAUCAAAUUUGUGGGAAAAUGGAGACCUUCCCAUGAAGCAAUUGGCUUGCAAUAUACUAGCCAUCUUUCUCUGCAUAGAAUGUAAGAAACAAGAGAAAACUGUUAAUUUCUUGAAACUGCCAACACUUAUAUAUUAAUACAUAAUGUUUGAAAAUUUGAUGUUUAUGGUAUCAUUUAUUACCUAAAAAAUAGCAUCUUUUCUUUGGCCUUAUUUGUAUGUUUAUAUGACGUGUGACACGAAUUGGUACCUGCACCAGUCUAAAAUGGUUGCCUUCAGCCCAUUGACUCUAAUGUUAUUAAAUUAAUACAAAAUAAACAAAUUAUUUUCAUCUUUCCCUUUAGUUUAAAGUGAUUAGUAAUGGAUGGUUAAGGAUCUAUUACAUCUAAUGAAUCGAAUAUAGUAUUGGAAAAAAAUCACUUCAUUCAAAACAACCUUUAUUGUUUGUUAGGAAAAUAUUAUUUGAAAUGAAAAAUGAUUCUUUUUUUUAGAAUGCGUGGUUAAAAAGUAGGAAAAAUUUAAGGAUCUGCGUGCAAAAUUAUUUUAUUGCUGGAAUGUAUAUUCAAAAUCUAUUUUAUUAAACAAAAUUCUCAUAAAAGUUGUACAAGUUGUUUAUUUUGUACUUAAUUUUAGAAAUUAAUGUGAUUACAGUAAGAUCCUAAUUACAACUUGAUUUUUAGACAUUUCUUAGAAUAUCCACGAUUUAAAAAAUUCAGUAUUCAUUGAUUCACAAUAGAAUACAACUAGAUCGACAGAUCAUUAAUUCUUGCAAAUACCAAUUUGAAUAAUUUAUCAGAUAAAAAAUCUAAAAACUUUUAUAUAAUCAUAUCAAUACCAAUUUAAAUGACCCACAGGUCCAAGACACUGUUUUGAAAGAAACUAAUUACUAAGCAUAAUUGAAAUUUCACUUUUAAUCCCAUAACAAUUAUGGUGUCAAUAUAUCCACCUUAAACCUUAACCUCUUUACCUACAAUAUGUAGAUAAUUUAUUUUCUCACUUUACUAAAAUUUCCACCUUUAUGUAAUUUGCAGAAAAAAAUUAACUAGUUACCAAAUAGUUGUUCCUUAAUAAGUGAAUGGAUAAACAACAACAAAUUAUCUAACUAUUCAAAAUAACCAUAUAAGAGUAUUUCCAAGAACUUUAUUUUUAUUAAUAAGCAUCUUGUAUCUAGUUGAGCAUAAUAGAGAGCAAUUUUAAAUUUCCACAGUCGAUUAACAAUUUCCAUAACACUUGUGUGAAAUUGUUUCAUUUGUCAAAUCCUUCAUUUUUGAAUUUGAAAAUCUCUACCAUAUAUCAUUUUCCUUUAAUCUUCUCCAUCAAAAAUAGGAAUAAAUUGAAGAGUUGACACCGACCGGACUUGCCAUUAUUUGAGCUUCUGGAUAAAAGUGUCUUAUUCAGGCUGUUACCAAAAUUAUCCAAAUGUAUAUUAAAAUAUUCUUCAAAUGAUGUUUGGAGGCAUAAAGUGAAAAUUGGCUUCCAAUAACUUCAGAAUUCAACCUUCUAGAUUUUGCUCUAAUCAGGUACUUCUCUCCAUUUAAUCUCCAAAAUAUGCAUUUCAUUUUCCUAAAGAAAUAUGUGUGCAUGGCCAUUUUCUGAUUGCAGCUGCGCAAUAAAAAGAUCCUCUAUCCACGACGUUCCAGAAGGCGCUAUUCUAAGCCACAAUGGAGCGUCUCUAUUCGUAGGGAAGCCAAUGGUGCAUCGUAUACUCAAGCUAAAUCUACCCUUUUACAGUUCCCAGAUAAUGCAUGGUUCUGGCAGAAAAAAGUGGUCAAACUAAUGGUAAAUCUUGAAAUGAUGCGCUGUAACAAUGAUGUUUUUUAUUGCUGUUGGGGAAAUUUACACCGAUUAUGUGUAUAUUAUAUUUUUGUACGUGCAUAUUAUAUUCACAAAAAUAUAAUAUGCACAUAAUCGGUGUAAAUUUUCCCAACAAUUGCCGGGUCUUCAAAAUCUUGUUGAAACUUACAACAUAAUGAAAUGCAAUUUAAGAAGAAAAAGAAAACAUCUUUAAUUCUUGUUAAGGAUCAAAUCCCACAUUGAAUAAAAAUGAAAAAAAAUAGACCAACUUAUAAGCUUUGGGCUACUCCUCUUAACAAGGUUGACCUAUUAAGAUGGAAUCACAAAUCUUAACACGGUAUCAAAGCCAUCAUCCAACUUAUAAAGCUUUGGACUACUCCUCUUAGGGCGUGUUUCGCAUAGCUUUUGUUUUUACUUUUGCUUCUUGUAGAAGAGUUUUUGGAGGAAGCUAUUUUAAUUUUUGUUUAAAAACUAAUAUUUAAAAGCAUUUUUUAUUCCAGAAGUGCUUUUAGAGGAAGUCACAUUGAACCGGCUUCGUCUAAAAGUUCUUUCAACCAUUAAAAGCACUUUAACAAAAUUAGCCAAACGGGUCCAAAAACAACUUUUGAACCUCAAAAGCUCCUUUUGACUUUUUAAAAGUCAUGUCAAACGAGCACUUAAUAAGGUUGACCUUCAAGAUAGAACCCCAAAUCUUAACAAUUCCUGAGUAUUAGGCCAUCUUCAACCCUGCACCAAAUUUUGCACUAAAUCUUGCACCAAACCAAAAUUCUUCUCCAACCAUUAUACCUAAAUUUACACCAAAUGAACAGUGCUUUAUUAUUUUAUUCAUUCUUUUGAUUUUUGACAAUAUAUUUAUUUAUUUAUUUUUUUAUAACUAUAUAUAUUACUAAAUCAUAACUUCAUUAAAUUAACAAAUAUAUUGAUUACUAUAUUAUCACAUGUCAUAUAUAUUAUGUUAAAUCGACAAAAAUAAUUGAUUAUAUUAUUAAUUUAUGAUAAACAAUUACGUUAAAUUUACAAAAAUAAUAAACUUUAAUAAUAUAAACUUUACAUUAAAUUAAAUUUUAAACGUAAACUUUACGAAUUUAACUGUACGUUAAAUUAACAAUUACGUCAAUUAUUAUUGAUUAUAUUAUUAAAAAUAAUAAACUUUAAUAAUAUAAUUAAUAGUGUAAUUAAUUAAGUAAUUAUUAUUAUUAUCAUCAUUAUCAUUAUCAUUAUCAUUAUUAUUAUAGAACGAAAAUGACACAAAUGCCCUUAACCCUUAUCCUUGAAAAAAGAAAAAUAAGGGCAAAAUGGACAUUGCACCAUUUGGUACAAAAUGGUGCAACAUGAAUAGUGUUGCACCAUAUUUGGUGCAACACUAUUCAUUACACCAUUUUUUGCACCAAAAUUUGGUGCAAUGGUGCAAUGGUUGGAGGAAGUUUGCACCAAAUUUUGGUGCAAUUUGGUGCAAUGGUGCAAUGGUUGGAGAUGGCCUUAGUAAUGGAAAAACUGAGAGAUUUUCGAGAAACGAGCUCGAGAAAGGGGGAAAAUCCAUGAUUUUCAACCUCAUCAGUCAUAAACAAACUGAAACCAGUCACAAUAUUAUCAAACUUAAGCCGUGGAUUUGGCAACAAAUUCCCAAAUCCAUUUAUUUUCCAUUAUCGUUUAUCUGAAAUCCCAAUUCAAAGAAGCUUUGAUUUAAUCUAGGAUCCUAGUAGUUUCUCUCAGAAAAUUUUUAUUCAGAGUCAUGGUAGGAAGAAAAUAAAAUUGCCCUACCUUAAAAUCGUGUUGCAAAUUGAAAUAGUAAAUAACCUCGUGUUUUGAAAACUAGGCAUUCAUAAAUCCCGGUUUUGUACAUCUUGCAAUCAAAAACGUCAUUCUAACUAUACAAAAUGACAUUUCCAAUUUUCUAUCCUCAGUGUUCAAUUUUAAUUAACAUAAGCUUCAGUGACGAAAGCAAAUAGACCACUCAAACUAAAACAAAAAACAAAACUUCAAUUUUCAACUUCAGAAAAAUAAUAAGUUGGAUGAGUUACCGCAUUUUCAACCACAGUGUAGUAGACUAAAGUGCUAAAAAAUAUUAAAUUAUUUAUUUAUAAUUUCCAUUUACGUAUAUCAAACACGCCUAAAUAUUAAAUACUCGUAUAUAUAUAUAUGAUAGAGAACACUAAGACGGAUAUGAAUAUUGAAUUGGUCGUUGACCUUUGAUUGGGCUAGAUGAACUCCACUUAGAUAUAAAGACUAUUUUUAACGUUGAUAAAUAAACAUUUCGUGGACCCUUAAAUAAGAAGAAAUCUGUUUCGCAAAAAAAAAAAAAAAAUUCUUAAAAAAAGUUAAUUUCUGCUACCUUAGAAAAAGCUAUGACCUGGAUCCAUUUGGUUGGCUUAUAGGGCAAUUGAAAUUCAAUUCCCAGAAGAUAGAAUUAUAUAUUGUCGGAUGUAAAAUAAUUUUAGGCAGCUAUGUUGAAUUCAAGAACUUAGGAUCAUUUAUUUAUCUUAAUUAAUCAAUAGUAUCGGAAUGCAUAUUAUACAUGCCGUCCUAAAAAAUAUGACUUAUUCAACUCAAUUAUUCCCUGUUAAAAAAUUUAACGUUGUUAUGACCUUAACAAAUGAAAAUUAUUUUUCUAAGUUUCAACGCGCAACUCCUUGUUCAUGAUAUAAUCUGACUUAUCUGGUGGAUGAAACUUAUGUACUAUUUAACCAGAGAGUUUUUGGCUUAUCUUCUUUAUCAGUUGAUCAAGCAUUCUUAAUAAUUGUGAAAAAUUUUAUUGUAUCAGCCUGCAAUAUGCAGCAAAAAGCUUGCAUUCUUCUAAUCUUAUGGCUUCCAUUUAGCUUUUCCAUAUCAAAACAGACCAUCAACAACAGCACAAUCGCGCUACCCGACUGCCCCACCAAGUGUGGGAAUGUUUCCGUUCCAUACCCAUUUGGUAUUGGUUUAGAUGCUGGAUGUUCCAUAGGCCCUUGGUAUGACAUCAACUGUUCUAAAUCUUUUAACCCUCCAAAACCCUUCCUCAGCAGAACUAAUGGAGAGAUUAUGGACAUAUCAGAAACCAAAAUCCGUGUCAAAAGCAAUGGGAUAGCUUACAGAUGCUACAAUCAGACUGGUGGUAUAACUCGUGAAUUUCCAACCGUAUAUGGUAUAGAUGACACCUCGCCUUUCAGUUUUUCAAACGAAAACAAGUUCAUAGUUGUGGGAUGUGAUGAUGUUUCCUAUAUGGCAAAAGUGGCAACUGAUAAUCAGUUCAUGUGCUGCCAUAUGUUCAAAGAGCAGUGACUUGAGUGAUGGAUCUUGUUCUGGAAUUGGCUGUUGCCAAAACUCCAUUCCCAAGGGCCUAAAGAAUUACAUUAAUUUCCUGAACAGCUAUGGAAAUCACACGAAGGUCUCGUCCUUCAACCGCUGUGGCUAUUCCUUUCUUGGAGAACAGGGUAGAUAUAGGUUUCACCCAUCUGAUGUCUCUGAUUCCAAUUUUGAACACAGAAUUGUAGAAACUGUUCCGAUGGUAUUUGACUGGGUGAUUGGGAAUCAAACAUGUGUUGAAGCUCAGAAAUCCAAUCUAUUUGCUUGUCAGGAAAAUAGCAUCUGUGUUGAUUCUGAUACUGGUCUUGGAGGAUAUCACUGCAACUGCUCCAAGGGAUACAAGGGAAAUCCAUAUCUCAGACCAGGUUGCCAAGGUUAGUUAAUGUCUGUUUGAACACUCUGAGCAUAUUUAGUACAUAUUAUUGGACAUUACUCCACGAUGGACAAAAAAUUUUACUUCUUUUUUUGGUUCGUAUUGUCAAUUAGUGUUAAAUCUAGCUUACCAAAGAAGCUGUCUAUAGACAAACAAAAAAUGAAUUAUCGAAGAGCAAUAAGAACAAUUUUAAUUUCCUUUGGCUCAGCCACUCAGCCAUGACUCUUUUCGUUCUACUACGUUUUCAGACAUCAAUGAAUGCGAGAACAAUCCGUGUCAUCCAUAUGGAAUCUGCACUAAUACUCCAGGUGGUUAUAAGUGCUCUUGCCAGCACGGUUAUUUUGGUGAUGGCAGCAAAUUUGGUUCUGGUUGCAUUGGCCAGCCAGCGUCGGACCCAAACCAUUAGUAUUGUGGGGUCAAAAAUUUAAAAAUAAUUUUUUUAAUAAACAACAUAAUAUCAAUAAAAAUAAGUUUAUAUGUAUUUUGACACUUUGAAAACGUCGUAUAAUUACAUCAUUAUUAAUAUUAUUAAAUAAAUUUUGCUACUUGUAUAGUUUGUUUAUCAUUUCAUUGGCAAAUGUUGAGCUAAUAUUGAAUAAAUUAAAUUGAAUAUAGAAAUUAAAUGAAUUGAAAUAAAAUUCAAAUUUAGUUCAGGAAGUAAAUAAAAUUCAAAUUUAAAGUAAAUAUAAUUCGAAAGUAAUUCAAAUUGCAUUUAAUCCGUAACGAUCCUAAAAAAUUUACAUCAUAAUUCAUGUAAGACUUCCGAAUGAAACAAUAUAAAUUAUAUUGAAAAAUUUAUCGUGUAAAAAUAAUAAUUAAUUGAAUAUUUUUAAAAGAAAAAACGAAUUAAACGUUUUUUGAGGCGNNNNNNNNNNNNNNNNNNNNNNNNNNNNNNNNNNNNNNNNNNNNNNNNNNNNNNNNNNNNNNNNNNNNNNNNNNNNNNNNNNNNNNNNNNNNNNNNNNNNNNNNNNNNNNNNNNNNNNNNNNNNNNNNNNNNNNNNNNNNNNNNNNNNNNNNNNNNNNNNNNNNNNNNNNNNNNNNNNNNNNNNNNNNNNNNNNNNNNNNNNNNNNNNNNNNNNNNNNNNNNNNNNNNNNNNNNNNNNNNNNNNNNNNNNNNNNNNNNNNNNNNNNNNNNNNNNNNNNNNNNNNNNNNNNNNNNNNNNNNNNNNNNNNNNNNNNNNNNNNNNNNNNNNNNNNNNNNNNNNNNNNNNNNNNNNNNNNNNNNNNNNNNNNNNNNNNNNNNNNNNNNNNNNNNNNNNNNNNNNNNNNNNNNNNNNNNNNNNNNNNNNNNNNNNNNNNNNNNNNNNNNNNNNNNNNNNNNNNNNNNNNNNNNNNNNNNNNNNNNNNNNNNNNNNNNNNNNNNNNNNNNNNNNNNNNNNNNNNNNNNNNNNNNNNNNNNNNNNNNNNNNNNNNNNNNNNNNNNNNNNNNNNNNNNNNNNNNNNNNNNNNNNNNNNNNNNNNNNNNNNNNNNNNNNNNNNNNNNNNNNNNNNNNNNNNNNNNNNNNNNNNNNNNNNNNNNNNNNNNNNNNNNNNNNNNNNNNNNNNNNNNNNNNNNNNNNNNNNNNNNNNNNNNNNNNNNNNNNNNNNNNNNNNNNNNNNNNNNNNNNNNNNNNNNNNNNNNNNNNNNNNNNNNNNNNNNNNNNNNNNNNNNNNNNNNNNNNNNNNNNNNNNNNNNNNNNNNNNNNNNNNNNNNNNNNNNNNNNNNNNNNNNNNNNNNNNNNNNNNNNNNNNNNNNNNNNNNNNNNNNNNNNNNNNNNNNNNNNNNNNNNNNNNNNNNNNNNNNNNNNNNNNNNNNNNNNNNNNNNNNNNNNNNNNNNNNNNNNNNNNNNNNNNNNNNNNNNNNNNNNNNNNNNNNNNNNNNNNNNNNNNNNNNNNNNNNNNNNNNNNNNNNNNNNNNNNNNNNNNNNNNNNNNNNNNNNNNNNNNNNNNNNNNNNNNNNNNNNNNNNNNNNNNNNNNNNNNNNNNNNNNNNNNNNNNNNNNNNNNNNNNNNNNNNNNNNNNNNNNNNNNNNNNNNNNNNNNNNNNNNNNNNNNNNNNNNNNNNNNNNNNNNNNNNNNNNNNNNNNNNNNNNNNNNNNNNNNNNNNNNNNNNNNNNNNNNNNNNNNNNNNNNNNNNNNNNNNNNNNNNNNNNNNNNNNNNNNNNNNNNNNNNNNNNNNNNNNNNNNNNNNNNNNNNNNNNNNNNNNNNNNNNNNNNNNNNNNNNNNNNNNNNNNNNNNNNNNNNNNNNNNNNNNNNNNNNNNNNNNNNNNNNNNNNNNNNNNNNNNNNNNNNNNNNNNNNNNNNNNNNNNNNNNNNNNNNNNNNNNNNNNNNNNNNNNNNNNNNNNNNNNNNNNNNNNNNNNNNNNNNNNNNNNNNNNNNNNNNNNNNNNNNNNNNNNNNNNNNNNNNNNNNNNNNNNNNNNNNNNNNNNNNNNNNNNNNNNNNNNNNNNNNNNNNNNNNNNNNNNNNNNNNNNNNNNNNNNNNNNNNNNNNNNNNNNNNNNNNNNNNNNNNNNNNNNNNNNNNNNNNNNNNNNNNNNNNNNNNNNNNNNNNNNNNNNNNNNNNNNNNNNNNNNNNNNNNNNNNNNNNNNNNNNNNNNNNNNNNNNNNNNNNNNNNNNNNNNNNNNNNNNNNNNNNNNNNNNNNNNNNNNNNNNNNNNNNNNNNNNNNNNNNNNNNNNNNNNNNNNNNNNNNNNNNNNNNNNNNNNNNNNNNNNNNNNNNNNNNNNNNNNNNNNNNNNNNNNNNNNNNNNNNNNNNNNNNNNNNNNNNNNNNNNNNNNNNNNNNNNNNNNNNNNNNNNNNNNNNNNNNNNNNNNNNNNNNNNNNNNNNNNNNNNNNNNNNNNNNNNNNNNNNNNNNNNNNNNNNNNNNNNNNNNNNNNNNNNNNNNNNNNNNNNNNNNNNNNNNNNNNNNNNNNNNNNNNNNNNNNNNNNNNNNNNNNNNNNNNNNNNNNNNNNNNNNNNNNNNNNNNNNNNNNNNNNNNNNNNNNNNNNNNNNNNNNNNNNNNNNNNNNNNNNNNNNNNNNNNNNNNNNNNNNNNNNNNNNNNNNNNNNNNNNNNNNNNNNNNNNNNNNNNNNNNNNNNNNNNNNNNNNNNNNNNNNNNNNNNNNNNNNNNNNNNNNNNNNNNNNNNNNNNNNNNNNNNNNNNNNNNNNNNNNNNNNNNNNNNNNNNNNNNNNNNNNNNNNNNNNNNNNNNNNNNNNNNNNNNNNNNNNNNNNNNNNNNNNNNNNNNNNNNNNNNNNNNNNNNNNNNNNNNNNNNNNNNNNNNNNNNNNNNNNNNNNNNNNNNNNNNNNNNNNNNNNNNNNNNNNNNNNNNNNNNNNNNNNNNNNNNNNNNNNNNNNNNNNNNNNNNNNNNNNNNNNNNNNNNNNNNNNNNNNNNNNNNNNNNNNNNNNNNNNNNNNNNNNNNNNNNNNNNNNNNNNNNNNNNNNNNNNNNNNNNNNNNNNNNNNNNNNNNNNNNNNNNNNNNNNNNNNNNNNNNNNNNNNNNNNNNNNNNNNNNNNNNNNNNNNNNNNNNNNNNNNNNNNNNNNNNNNNNNNNNNNNNNNNNNNNNNNNNNNNNNNNNNNNNNNNNNNNNNNNNNNNNNNNNNNNNNNNNNNNNNNNNNNNNNNNNNNNNNNNNNNNNNNNNNNNNNNNNNNNNNNNNNNNNNNNNNNNNNNNNNNNNNNNNNNNNNNNNNNNNNNNNNNNNNNNNNNNNNNNNNNNNNNNNNNNNNNNNNNNNNNNNNNNNNNNNNNNNNNNNNNNNNNNNNNNNNNNNNNNNNNNNNNNNNNNNNNNNNNNNNNNNNNNNNNNNNNNNNNNNNNNNNNNNNNNNNNNNNNNNNNNNNNNNNNNNNNNNNNNNNNNNNNNNNNNNNNNNNNNNNNNNNNNNNNNNNNNNNNNNNNNNNNNNNNNNNNNNNNNNNNNNNNNNNNNNNNNNNNNNNNNNNNNNNNNNNNNNNNNNNNNNNNNNNNNNNNNNNNNNNNNNNNNNNNNNNNNNNNNNNNNNNNNNNNNNNNNNNNNNNNNNNNNNNNNNNNNNNNNNNNNNNNNNNNNNNNNNNNNNNNNNNNNNNNNNNNAGAUGAACUCCACUUAGAUAUAAAGACUAUUUUUAACGUUGAUAAAUAAACAUUUCGUGGACCCUUAAAUAAGAAGAAAUCUGUUUCGAAAAAAAAAAAAUUCUUAAAAAAAGUUAAUUUCUGCACUUAAAAAAAGCUAUGACCUGGAUCCAUUUGGUUGGCUUAUAGGGCAAUUGAAAUUCAAUUCCCAGAAGAUAGAAUUAUAUAUUGUCGGAUGUAAAAUAAUUUUAGGCAGCUAUGUUGAAUUCAAGAACUUAGGAUCAUUUAUUUAUCUUAAUUAAUCAAUAGUAUCGGAAUGCAUAUUAUACAUGCCGUCCUAAAAAAUAUGACUUAUUCAACUCAAUUAUUCCCUGUUAAAAAAUUUAACGUUGUGAUGACCUUAACAAAUGGAAAUUAUUUUUCUAAGUUUCAACGCGCAACUCCUUGUUCAUGAUAUAAUCUGACUUAUCUGGUGGAUGAAACUUAUGUACUAUUUAACCAGAGAGUUUUUGGCGUAUCUUCUUCAUCUGUUGAUCAAGCAUUCUUAAUAAUUGUGAAAAAUAUUAUUGUAUCAGCCUGCAAUAUGCAGCAAAAGGCUUGCAUUCUUCUAAUCUUAUGGCUUCCAUUUAGCUUUUCCAUAUCAAAACAGACCAUCAACAACAGCACAAUCGCGCUACCCAGCUGCCCCACCAAGUGUGGGAAUGUAUCCGUUCCAUACCCAUUUGGUAUUGGUUUAGAUGCUGGAUGUUCCAUAGGCCCAUGGUAUGACAUCAACUGUUCUAAAUCUUUUAACCCUCCAAAACCCUUCCUCAGCAGAACUAAUGGAGAGAUUAUCGACAUAUCAGAAACCAAAAUCCGUGUCAAAAGCAAUGGGAUAGCUUACAGAUGCUACAAUCAGACUGGUGGUAUAACUCGUGAAUUUCCAACCGUAUAUGGUAUAGAUGAAACCUCGCCUUUCAGUUUUUCAAACGAAAACAAGUUCAUAGUUGUGGGAUGUGAUGAUGUUUCCUAUAUGGCAAAAGUGGCAACUGAUUAUGGCAAAAGUGGCAACCGAUAACUUAAUCAGUUCAUGUGCUGCCAUAUGUUCAAAGAGCAGUGACUUGAGUGAUGGAUCUUGUUCUGGAAUUGGCUGUUGCCAAAACUCCAUUCCAAAGGGCCUAAAGAAUUACAUUAAUUUCCUGAACAGCUAUGGAAAUCACACGAAGGUCUCAUCCUUCAACCGCUGUGGCUAUUCCUUUCUUGGAGAACAGGGCAGAUAUAGGUUUCACCCAUCUGAUGUCUCUGAUUCCAAUUUUGAACACAGAAUUGUAGAAACUGUUCCGAUGGUAUUUGACUGGGUGAUUGGGAAUCAAACAUGUGCUGAAGCUCAGAAAUCCAGUCUAUUUGCUUGUCAGGAAAAUAGCAUCUGUGUUGAUUCUGAUACUGGUCUUGGAGGAUAUCACUGCAACUGCUCCAAGGGAUACAAGGGAAAUCCAUAUCUCAGACCAGGUUGCUAAGGUUAGUUAAUGUCUGUUUGAACACUCUGAGCAUAUUUAGUACAUAUUAUUGGACAUUACUCCACGAUGGACAAAAAAAUUUACUUAUUUUUUUGGUUUGUAUUGUCAGUUAGUGUUAAAUCUAGCUUACCAAAGAAGCUGUCUAUAGAUAAACAAAAAAUGAAUUAUCGAAGAGCAAUAAGAACAAUUUUAAUUUCCUUUGGCUCAGCCAUGACUCUUUUCGCUCUACUACGUUUUCAGACAUCAAUGAAUGCGAGAACAAUCCGUGUCAUCCAUAUGGAAUCUGCGCUAAUACUCCAGGUGGUUAUAAGUGCUCUUGCCAGCACGGUUAUUUUGGUGAUGGCAGCAAAUUUGGUUCUGGUUGCAUUGGCCAGUCAGGGGCGGACCCAGACCAUUAGUAUUGUGGGGUCAAAAAUUUAAAAAUAAUUUUUCUAAUAAACAACAUAAUAUCAAUAAAAAUAAGUUUAUAUGUAUUUUGACACUUUGAAAACGUCGUAUAAUUACAUUAUUAUUAAUAUUAUUAAAUAAAUUUUGCUACUUGUAUAGUUUGUUUAUCAUUUCAUUGGCAAAUGUUGAGCUAAUAUUGAAUAAAUUAAAUGAAUUGACAAAUUUAAAGUAAAUAUAAUUCGAAAGUAAUUCAAAUUGCAUUUAAUCCGUAACGAUCCUAAAAAAUUUACAUCACAAUUCAUGUAAGACUUCUGAAUGAAACAAUAUAAAUUAUAUUGAAAAAUUUAUCGUGUAAAAAUAAUAAUUAAUUGAAUUUUUUUAAAAGAAAAGACGAAUUAAACGUUUUUUGAGGCGUACGUUUGAUACAUAUUUAACUAUUUUCAAUAUCUGUUUGGACCAUUCGAUAUGAAAACGAUGUAGUUUUCGAAACAAACAUUUACAUGACAUAGACGAUUUGUGGAUUCAGAUAGCAUAUGAUCGCAAACGAAUUUUUAAAGUUAGGAUAUCAUCGAAAUUCUCAAAGUACUAGUUAUAAACGCUCUACUUUAACAUGCUAUAACUUUUGCUAUGGUUGACCAUUUCGCAUGCCAUUAAUGAGUUAAAAACUAGGUCAUGAACACUUCGAAAUGGUAUUAAGAAUGCAAUAUUUUGAUUUCAUUUGACAUCCCAAUGAAUGUAUCAAAGUAGAUUGUAAAAAAAAAGGGGGCAAAAUUCUGUGAGGUCAUUUGACCCCACAUGACCCCAUGUGGGUCCGCCCCUGUGGCCAGCGUUCAAAUAAAGUAUCAGUGCUUACUAGGGGCGGACCCAGACCAUUAAUAUUGUGGGGUCAAAAAUUUAAAAAUAAUUUUUUUAAUAAACAACAUAAUAUCAAUAAAAAUAAAUUUAUAUGUAUUUUGACACUUUGAAAACGUCGUAUAAUUAUAUCAUUAUUAAUAUUAUUAAAUAAAUUUUGCUACUUGUAUAUUUUUUUAUCAUUUCAUUGGCAAAUGUUGAGCUAACAUUGAAUAAAUUAAAUUGAAUAUAGAAAUUAAAUGAAUUGAAAUAAAAUUCAAAUUUAAUUCAGGAAGUAAAUGAAUUUCAAAUUUAAAGUAAAUAUAAUUCGAAAGUAAUUCAAAUUGCAUUUAAUCCGUAACGAUCCUAAGAAAUUUACAUCAUAUUUCAUGUAAGACUUCCGAAUGAAACAAUAUAAAUUAUAUUGAAAAAUUUAUCGUGUAAAAAUAAUAAUUAAUUAAAUUUUUUUAAAAGAAAAAACGAGUUAGACGUUUUUUGAGGCGUACGUUUGAUACAUAUUUAACUAUUUUCGAUAUCCGUUUGGACCAUUCGAUAUGAAAAUGAUGUAGUUUUCGAAACAAACAUUUACAUGAUAUAGACGAUUUGUGGAUUCAGAUAGCACAUGAUCGCAAACGAAUUUUUAAAGUUAGGAUAUUAUCGAAAUUCUCAAAAUACUAGUUAUAAACGCCCUACUUUAACAUGUCAUAACUUUUGCUAUAGUUGACCAUUUCGCAUGCCAUUAAUGAGUGAAAAACUAGGCCAUGAACACUUCGAAAUGGUAUGAAGAAUGCAAUAUUUUGAUUUCAUUUGACAUCCCGCCGAGUGCAUCAAAGUAGAUUGUAAAAAAAAAAAAAAAGGGCAAAAUUUUGGGGGGUCAUUUGACCCCACAUGAUCCCAUGUGGGUCCGCCCCUGCAGCCAGCGUUCAAAUAAAGCAUCAGUGCUCACCAGGGCGGAUCCAGACCAUUAGUAUUGUGGGGUCAAAAUUUUAAAAAUAAUUUUUUUAAUAAACAACAUAAUAUCAAUAAAAAUAAGUUUAUAUGUAUUUUGACACUUUGAAAAUAUCGUAUAAUUACAUCAUUAUUAAUAUUAUUAAAUAAAUUUUGCUACUUGUAUAGUUUGUUUAUCAUUUCAUUGGCAAAUGUUGAGCUAACAUUGAAUAAAUUAAAUUGAAUAUAGAAAUUAAAUGAAUUAAAAUAAAAUUCAAGUUUAGUUCAGGAAGUAAAUGAAAUUCAAAUUUAAAGUAAAUAUAAUUCGAAAGUAAUUCAAAUUGCAUUUAAUCCGUAACGACCCUAAAAAAUUUACAUCAUAAUUCAUGUAAGACUUCCGAAUGAAACAAUAUAAAUUAUAUUGAAAAAUUUAUCAUGUAAAAUUAAUAAUUAAUUGAAUUUUUUUAAAAGAAAAAACAAGUUAGACUUUUUUGAGGCGUACGUUUGAUACAUAUUUAACUAUUUUCGAUAUCCGUUUGGACCAUUCGAAUUGAAAACGAUGUAGUUUUCGAAACAAACAUUUACAUGACAUAGACGAUUUGUGGAUUCAGAUAGCACAUGAUCACAAACAAAUUUUUAAAGUUAGGAUACUAUCGAAAUUCUCAAAAUACUAGUUAUAAGCGCCCUACUUUAACGUGUCAUAACUUUUGCUAUAGUUGACCAAUUCGCAUGUCAUUAAUGAGUGAAAAAUUAGGCCAUGAUCACUUCGAAAUGGUAUUAAGAAUGCAAUAUUUUGAUUUUAUUUAGCAUCCCGACGAGUGCAUCAAAAUAGAUUGUAAAAAAAAAAAAAGAAGGGCAAAAUUUUGUGGGGUCAUUUGACCCCACAUGACCCCAUGUGGGUCCGCCCCUAGUGCUCACAGGUUAUAAACAUAUUGUUACCCCUGUAAAUGUACUCAUGUUACUUCGGAUCAUGUUCAUUACAUUCAAUCAAAAGUAAAAACUUUUCAUUUGAAGCAUUGUUGAGAACCAGGGAUGAAGGGAAAUCGUUGCAACUUUACUAAUACCUUUAAAUCAUUAAACUUAAGAUGAGUACAUAAAUAUUUUGAAAAAAUAUUUUUUGUUCCUUCUAUUUUUGGAAUUUGCAUUUGAGACAGAUUUGAUGAACAGGGUUUUUAUGUCAAGUUCAAACCAUUAUUUAUCUAAUCAGGAGUUAAUACAUAAGUCGAAGAAAACUCGGAAUCAUAUAGGAUACUUUUCCUUUAUUUUCUUAAUAUUAAAAAAAAAACACUGAUCAGUUCACUGGACGAAGGAACCUACAAGUACAGUGACCUAUGUCCAUACGAAAUCAAACAAAUGUUCUACAAAGUUGAACGAUGCCUGAAGGCUUAAGAAACAAACUAAACAAAAGCCUAAUUUGACUUGAAGUCAAGAAAAUGAGGGAAAAUGAAGUUUAAUAUAGUGAUUACAGAAAAGAGAAAGGGAUACUCACAGCAGUGAUUUUUUUUGGUUGACAAUUUAUCCGGUUAGUUUCUCAUACACAUAAUGAAUGCUUAGAAGUCUUAGAGUUGUCAAACAGCUGCCAGUGCAUGAAUUUGCCUAAUAUGACAUCUCUCUGUGCAGGUUUAAGUACGAGCAUCGGGUUGUUAUUACUGCUAACAGUUAUCUAUUGGCUAUACAAAGUAGUGAAGAAGAGGAGUGAUCGACUGAUUAAACAAAAAUAUUUCAAACGAAAUGGUGGUCUUUUAUUAAUAUUCCUAUUUUAAUUGAAAACCUUGAAAGCCCAAGAACAAGUAACCAAGAGGGGGGUGAAUUGGUUUUUCGAUCCUUUUUCGAAAAUGAGCACAAAUUUAAACAAAUAACUAUUAAUAAACAAGAUAACACAAAAGUAAUAAGAGGAAGGGAAAAGAGAGUGCAAACGAUGUAAUAAAGAGGUUCGAUCCAAUCAUGAUCUGCGUCCCCCGUUACCAUGCUCUCCGUCACGAGUAAGGCCUUUUUCACUAUAUUGAUUGACUUAUGGUACAAUCCAACCUUCUUACAACGCUUUCGGUGACUUACAAAUAAGGAGUACCGUUCCUUUACAAUGUUGAAAUUUUCGGGACUUCAACUCGACCCACAAGUUUAAAAGAUAAGGAGUAUACAAGUGAAGACUUCUCUUGCAAUAAAUGAUAUAAUUGAAGUUGAAUACAACAAGAGAAGAUGGCUAACACUUUAGUAGAUAGCAAUGAUUGAAGCUCAAGUGUUAGAAAAGAAAAACACUUUGAUAAGAAUGAUUUUCAAAAGUUGGAUCAAUCAAAUGUUUUUCUAAUAAAUAGAUUGAAGAAAUAGAUGUAUAUAGGUGAUAGAUUAGUGAUAUCUCACUUUAAAUGCUCAUAUAAAGUCUCAUAUUGAAUGCAAAGUGAUCUAGUGUUUAUAGCAACAAAAACGGCCAAAAGUUCUGUUCUACUGGACGAAGCUAUCGGACGUCCGCUAUCGUACAUGACGGUCAACUAACUGUUUUUUGUUCAGAAGUUAGAACGUUUGAUUUCUUGACCGUUGGACAAACCUGUCAUACUGGACGUCCGCUAGAAUUAUCGGACUUGUCCGCUAGAGCUACCGGAUGCGUCCUCUAGAUCAGCAUAUUUUUGGAUUUUUCCUUCUUUAAAUAAUGUAGCAAAAUGUAAAUUCAUGAAGGAUGUUUCUAACAUGUUUUACAGACUUUUUGACAUGUCUAAAAGUAUGUAAUAGGUUCGUGCUUUUCUUUAUGCAAAAACCGUGUUUGUCGUGCGAAGAAACGUUGCUUGAGCUUCAAAUGACGUAUAUGUCAAAUACUAAAGUGUUUUACCAUAACAUUUGAAAUCAAGGUGUCUAAAUAUAUUUUCUUCUAAUUUCUUCUUGAAGUGAUCGUAGUCUUGAUAUGUAGCUUGAUUUCCACUUUGUCCAAACUUGCAAGAGCUCCGCUUGUCGUAAACUUCUAUAAUCACUGAAACACAAUUGUUAAAUAAAAUAUGUUUGUUAUAAUCAAAACGAGAAGUCAACCGUAGGCCAACAAUUUCCCCCUUUUUGAUUAUGACAAACAUGAG